This 82554-nucleotide long non-coding RNA is filed under the name Daucus carota (carrot). RNAcentral describes it as "long non-coding RNA (DCAR_LNC000556)". The stretch from base 43298 to 43369 matches the Rfam family "tRNA". Lineage: Eukaryota; Viridiplantae; Streptophyta; Magnoliopsida; Apiales; Apiaceae. The record is from RNAcentral.
AAGGAGAAAUAUGCGAAAAGGAAGCAGAAGAGUCACAUGGGUUUCCAAUACACAGCGACCAAACGAGCCUAAAAGCUUUGAAUUACUCAACCAAAACCCUAAUGCUAAAAGCUCUUCAACCAGUUACGAGCCCGGGCGAAGAAACUCUCAUCGGACACGUUAACAGAAGCUUUAGGCUUUGGUUUUGAUUGCUUACAUUAUGAUUUCAAGGUUGUUAGACUUGUAUCGUGCUCUGUUCCUGUUGAAAUUUAUUCUGCAAUUAGGAAUUCCUGGGAAAUCAUUAGGCAUAAUCCCACGGAUACUCCUUAUGCCUAUGAAGAGGUAUGAUGGCUUUUGAUCUACACAAGGAGGCCUUUAUUUGUAACAUUGGGCUGCCUAUCAGCUCUCAAAUUGCUGUUAUUGUUGACUUGGAGAAUUCUGUUGCUGUUUGUAACCUUGAUCAAUUGCAUAAUCAGUUUAGCUUGUGGACAUUAGACGAUGAGGCAUGCCUUAGUGGUGGAGGUGGAAGUAAGGCAUCAUGGACGACGAAGUUCAUUGUUGAUUUAGGCGUGCCACUAGAUCUUGGGGAAGGUGUUUUCAACAUUGUUGAGUUCUUGAUACAACCUCAAGAACUUGGACGUCUAUGGUUUUCAUACAACUCUGAGAAGAAAGUGGGCAAAAAUGUCAAUGUCAAUUCUUAUUCUGAGAAGUAUACAGAGAGCUUGCUUUCUGUUGCAGGACCCGAACUAAUCAGGUGACCUAAUCUGAUUACGAAGAUGAUGAGAGAUGUAUUAUUUCAGCUUUUUACUAAUCUACAUUAGUUUAGUUUCUUAAGUCUCGUUGUAUUUCCUUUGUCAUUGUUAUCCACGAGAAUUGACCUGUUUGACUUAUCUUAUUUUUCAGAAAUUAAAAAAGUACGUAAAUAUAAAGUUGUUUCUCGACCCACUCGUAAACAUACUAAGAAUUGUAAAGAGAUUGCUCAAUGCCCAGAACUCAACAAACUGUAAUAAUCUUGUUAGCAAAACCCUAGACUUCUAAAUUCUAAUUUGCAUUAAGGUGCAUUAGAGCAACCAUAACUGGGCUCAGAAUCUCAUGUUGUUGCUAUAAUUGAGAGCAGGAUAGCGAGGAUCAUCUUCCGGACUUGUAGUUGGCUCUCCAAAAAUUCUCAACAAAUCUGGCGAGGUAACCUCUCUCCCCUAUCUCUAUAUUUUGUUACUUUAAUCUUUACUUUUUGUUUUUACUACACCUGUUCUCCUAAUUAUUGUUAUCUUUCCGGAAUGGCAGCAAUAUGAAGUACUAAAGCCUGGUGGAUAAUCAAGGCUGUUGUGUUGAUACAAGUCUGUAUGAAUAGAUAUGAAAGAUUCUUCGCAAGCCAGGUACACAUCCUCAUAUAUGUUGAAUGUCUAGGUUAGUUACUAUAUUUUUGUUUGUUGUGUUCCAUGAAAUGCCUGAAUGAAAUUUAGCAACAAAAGAAUUCUUCUGGCUGAAACUGAGUAUUUGUCAUCAAUGUGAAAUUUGGUAAAACCAACUGAGUUAAAUCUAUAUAAUAUCUUCGAAAAUAAAGUAAUCAAAUAGUUACUUGAUUUAGCUACUAUGGUUGGAGCAAAACCUUUUCUUUUGUUUAGGAAGGUUAGCGAUGAUGUCAUACCUUUGUUGCCACUGAUCUUCUCUCCAAUCUCCACUUGAAGCUGUAACCACUUCCAUUAAAUACUAAAGUGUACAACUGUGUAGCAGUCAAGUGCUUCUCCUAAUGCAAAAGCAGCCAUGCUGGUCAAUUUUUACAUUCAGUAUUGUAAGAUUUAUCUGAUAAUCAGGGGCAUAACUUCUAAUUUAACACCAUUUUUUUUUGUUCCAUAAGAGCAUCUUCGACGGUGUUGACUAAAAAUGGUUGGCGAAAUUGGACUUGUAAGACAUUAUGUAAAAUUAGUCGAACCAGUAAGGUAUUUUACUUUGAUGGUAUUGGCUAUGUUGGCUGAUUAUAUUCCAAAAAUGGUAUGUUAUUAUUAUUUCAAGUUGUUAUAAAUAGAAUAUAUUAUUUUAAAAUGGUAAUAGAUAUGUGGAAUCUUGUUACAGGUAUCUAGAGGUUGGCCUAAUAUAGCCAAUAUCAAGAGGUUGGCUAUAAUUAUAGACAAGGGUUUUGUACAAUUGGAGUGGUGAAAUUUAUACACAUUCUCUAUAAAUUUUAUUUUUGGCAUUCCAAUUGCCACCUAGAUAUUUAGCUAAGGGCUUUAUAAGGUUGAAAAUGCUCUAGUAUAUUAAUGGUUAUUAUCAUUGAUAUAUUUCUCUAGAUUCUGUUAAGCAUGUUUAAUUAACCGAUUGAUUAAUAAUUAAUAUUUUUAUAUCGUAUCCUUGAGGUACCGAUCUCAUCACUAUUGACAUUGACAUUAUUUCAUAUUUAUUAUUCGAAGUGUAUUUCUAUCACAUAAAAAAAAAAAUUAAAAACAAUUAUUUUGACAAUAAUAUGAUUUCAGUUUAUUUUUAAUUUUAUUUCUAAUUAAAAUUAUUACAGUUUUGGUAUUCGAACUAAUUUGGAUUUGAUAUCGAAAUAUCUAAAUGUUGGGACUAUAACUAUUUAACCACAUUUGCAAAACCGAAUCCAUCAUAGAUUAGAAGCCCUUAAUUUGAAAUCGAGAAAUGGGGACGAGAGCCGACAAGGGCGAAAGGUUGACAGAAGUGGACUUGUUAAUUGAGGUGCUUUCGAGGCUUCGUGUGAAGCCCUUGCUUCGUUGCAAAUCCGUGUCUAAAUCAUGGUACGCUCUCAUUUCAAGCCCUAAUUUUAUCAAAUCUCAUCUUCAACGUGCAAUCACAAGCUGUGCUGUAGAUGAUGAGGAUGAAAAUAAUCUCAUAGUUCACUACCAUAGACAUUGGGAUCGUCUUGAAUAUAAAGAAGCAGACGGCUCAUUCAAACUCUUUAACCUCGGUAUUGGUUAUACUACGACAAAUCUUAAAUUUCCUUACCCUCAAGGUGAGUAUCCCAUCGAUCCUCCCUCUCUUCUCGUUGGUUUUGUUUGCGGGAUUGCUUGUGUUUGUGUUGAUGACUCUGAUGAUUUCAAUAAAUUCUUUGUGCCUACUGCUAAUCUUCCAAGUAAUAUAUACCUUUGGAAUCCCGCGAUUAAACAAUCUAAACUUAUUCGUCCGCAUACUAUACAUGCUGAUGACAAGACAGAAGUUGCUUUAGGCUUUGGAUUUGAUCCCAUUGAUUUUGAUUUUAAGGUUGUUAGAGUUGCUAGAGAUAUUUCGAGUGCCAUUUUGCCCGAGGUCUAUUCUACAAACAAGGAUGCUUGGAGAAAUAUUGAUUCUAACUUGACUGAUGUACCCUACAGCAGAAGUUUACAGAUAUGCCUCCACGGAUUUUUGCUUACGACUGGAAAUAAUGGUAUGAUAGCUUUUGAUCUAAACAAGGAGGUGUUUGUUUGUGAUAUUAAGCUUCCUGUCAACAUUAGUGGUGGUGGUCAUCGUUUCUUAUAUGAUGCUCGUGUCGUUGUCUUCAAGGAUUCUGUUGCUUUUAUUACCUCUACGUUUUCUAAACCGCAUAGGAUGAACUUGUGGACAUUAGAUGACGAGGCAUGCCUUCGUGGUGGUGGAGUCCAGGCAUCAUGGACUCUAAAGCUUAAUAUUGGUCUUGAUGAAGACUUUUACUAUUUCCAGGGCCUUUAUAACAGCAUUGACUUAUUAUUCCUUUAUAUGGGAAAGUGCUUCCUGUACAAUUUAGACAUGAAUUUGAGCAGAUAUAAAUAUCCUAGAGAGUUUAGUUAUUUUGAAGAAGACGCUUUCAAGUAUUCGGAGAGCCUGCUUUCAUUUGCAGGAUCUAUACCAGUCAACUGGCCUGCUGAUAAAGAAGAUAAUUAUGAAAGUGAAGUGGAUCUGGAAGAUUGUAAUUAUGAUAGCGAAGUGGAUCUGGAAGAUUGUAAUUAUGAUAGCGAAGUGGAUCUGGAAGCUGGUAAUUAUGAAAGAGAAGUGGAUCUGGAAGCUGGUAAUUGUGAAAGCGAAGUGUAUCUGGAAGUUGAUACCGAGGAAAGCAAUGUUGCCUCUGAAGAUGAUAAGGAAAGCAGUGAAGAUUCCGAAUAUGAUCCUGAGGAGAGCAUUACUGAUUCCGAAGAUGAUAAUGUGGAGAGCUACGAAGACGAUAUUGAGGAAAGCUCUGAAGCUGAUAAUGGGGAAUGCAGUGAUGAUUCUGCUAGUGAGUAAUGAGAAUAAUUGUCACAAUUAUUUUAUUUCUGUAGCCUUCAAUUUUCUCAAUCAAAUUUACUAUCACAAAAUCAUGUGCAUUGACAUUGUUAAACUUUUACUAUAUAUUAAAGUUGUCAAACUUUUGUUUUGAUUUAAUAUCUUUUUACUCCAAUUUUAUCUGUGAUCUUUCCAUUGUCAAACUAUCUGACGCUUAAUAGUACCUUCUAUCAAUACUUAUAUUGCUACUGUUCUUAUAAAACUUAACUGAAUGACUAAAAUCACAAAUUUUUGUAACGUUGGUGAUGACAUUUAGUAAAAUAAUUGUCUGGUUAUGUUUCUAAUGGAGGUAGCAAAAAAUAAAUUUAGCUACUAUUGGAAUUAAACAAAGCAAAUUGGACGUGCAAUUCUAUCUUGUGAUUGGUCAAUUUCUUCCUUUUGCAAUUUGGUGAUUUCAAAAAUGCAGUUCCUGCUGUCUUUGUGGUUGCUGGCUUGAACCUAUCAGUUGAAGCUAAUUUUUAAUUUUCAUGGAAUAUGUGUGCAAAUGUAGUAAUCCUUGUUUUAUUGUUGGAUAUGAAGAGUGUCCGGAAAGAAGUGACAGCGGCGUUGUACAGUUUACUUCUUAUAACUUCUUUAGGAAAUCAUUUAAUAGCGAGGAUCAUCUUCCAAGACUUGUAGCCGGCUCUCCAAAAAUUUAAAAAAUGUGGCGAGGUAACUUCUCUCCCUAUCUCUAUAUUUUAUUAAUUCAAUCUUUACCCCUUUUCUCUUCUUCUACACCCGUUCCCCAACGUGCUAUAUCUUGCACAUCCUUUUCCUCAACUAUCAGUCUCCUAGUUAUUGUUAUAUUUCCGCAAUGGCAUAUAUGAAAUACAGGUAGAUACUCUGACUUAUGAGUCACUUUACAAGUAAUAUAGGUUGUGACUCUGAGCGAGGCAAAUUGCAAACCUUAAUAAUCGAAGAGAUUGUAUGAUGUACCGGAAUCUUAAUAUUUAAGAUCCUUACAUAUUAAUUUUCUAAUAUACCUGUAUCUGUGUUGCGCAUGUUCCAUUCAGUGACCGACAUCUUAGUUUGAUGGUGGAAUGUAACAUCGAGUCUAGCAAAGCUGUACGGGAUGAAUGUUGUGUCAGCUGUCCCAGUGGUGGAAGAAAAUACUCCAGAAGAUCAAUAUUACAAAUAAUAAUUUCACUGAUUCGAAGUGAAUCUGUAAAGUUGAGAUGAAGUUAUCAAUUGCGAUAGCAAUCGAUCUUAUUGAACUGAAAAAAUGAGAAUUUGAUGCUUGCGCAGGGACGGAACCAGAAAAAAAAAAUAUGGAGGGGCGAAAUUUAUUUAUGCAAAAAAUACAUUCCGACAAUCUAGAUUUUAUUGACAAGUUUAUGAAUUUGUAUGUACAAAAUCCAAAUUUACAUGAGAUUCUUAUAUAUAUUUGAAGGGACCAUCAAGAUUUAUUAGUUUGAGGGGAGUGGGGACCAAAUGAACUCUCUGGUCAAUUCCUAUACUCAAAAUUGAAUAAAUACAAGCUUUUUGGGAGAUUUUUUGGGGGGACAGAAUGACUAUAUAAUCAAUUUUUAUACUCUAAAUAGAAUCAAUUUAAGUUCUUAGGGGAGGUUUUGGGGGGACCAUGGUCAAUCCAUGCCCUCCCCUUUCCUUCCCUGUGCUUGCGAUAGCUUCAUAGCGAGCAACAAUGGCGGAACCGUGUUGCAGGCUCUCAUACCAUAUAAAGAGAUGAAGAUAAGAACAAACUGGAAAAGAAAAUUGUAUUGACUACUUGCUUCUGUACAUUGUAUUGUCCAGUUAUACACAUGAUCUAGCUAGUGGAAAAGAAAGAAUGAGAGUAAUAAUUCCUAACUAACUUUCUCACCUAAGUUCUCUAAUUUAAUUUGCUAUUUAUGUACAUGUGUGCCCUCUGAACUUUGACUUAAUUUAUCUGUUUGCUUUCAGUGUGUUACAUUGUUUGAUAUAUCCUCAAUAUCUAGUUACUCUCAUUCUUUCUUUUACCGGGUUUUUUUUCCUUCUGCUACACCUGUUCCCCAACCUGCCAUAUUUGCACAUCUCUUUCCUCAACUAUCAGUCUCCUAAUUAUUGUUAUCUUUCCGGAAUGGCAGCUAUGAAGUACUAAAGCCCGGUGGAUAGUGAAGGCUGUCGUAUUGAUACAAGUCUGGAUGAAUAGAUAUGAAAGAUUCUUCACAAGCCAGGUUAGUUAAUUAAUCUUGUUUGUUGUGUUUGAUGAAAUGCCUGAAUGAAAUUUAGCAACAAAAUUUUUUUUACUGACCGAAACCGAGGAGUACUAGUCAUCAAUGUGAAAUUUAGUAAAACCAAAUGAGUCGGAUCUAUAUAAAAUUUUGAAAAUAAAGUAAUCAAAUAGUUAACUUGAUUUAGCUACUAUGGUUGGAGCAGAACUUUUUUUUUUUUGUUUAGGAAGGUUAAUGAUGCUGUCAUACCAUUGUUGCCACACUGAUCUCCUCUCCAAUCUCUACUCUAAGAUGUAAUCACUUCCGUUAUCUACUAAAUUUAGGCAUGAAUUUCGAUUUUUAAUAAGAAAUUGAGUCUUAAAAAUUUAUUGUUGAUGUACACAUUACAUUUUUGGACAUUUAAUAAUAAAUGAAUAUUGAUCGACUUAUAUAUGGUAAAAUCUAAAUCCCGACUUGAAAUUAACAUCAAGCCAUAACCCAAACUGGACCUGAACGUUUGGACAUUUGGAGAGAUUCAGUUAUUUAUUUGAGAUUUAAGUGGACAUUUCUUGACAUAAAACUUUUCAAUAUAACUGCUCAUAAUUUAUAUUUAUCUUCAUAUUAAAAAAUCAUGUGUUCUAGAUGUUUAUAUCCAUGAAUUUGCUCUAUCAUUUAAAUGUUUUUUUUCCAUUUAUCAACUUCAAGACUUCGUGAGAAAAUAAAAAAAAUUCUAAUGAUUAUUUAUUCCGACAUUAAAGAGAGCUAUCUUUUAUGUAUUCUUAAAUCAGGAAGAAGAGACUGGCAAUGCUAAUAACAAGACGUGGAUAGUUUGUAUCGACCUAUGAGAUCUAGAGCUAUUUUCUUGAAUGAAGUACAAGUGUACAACUGCGUAGCAGUCAAGUGCUUUCCUAACGCUAAAGCAGCCAUGCAGGUCAAUUUUUACAUUCGGUAUUGUAAGAUUUAUCUCAGAAUCAGGGGCAUAACUUCUAAUUUAACACCAUAUUCUUUUUCUUUUUGUUCCAUAAGAGAAUUCAUAAGGGUGUUGGCUAAAAAUGGUUGGUUAAAUUGGAUGUCACAAUUAAUAUUUCAUUAUUUUACCAUUUUCUUUAUUAUAUAAUUCUGGCUUUACUGAUUUUAUACAAUUUAAACUCUUAUCAACCUUUUUUAAUAAUAAUUCAUUCAUGUGAAUGAAUAAUUUUUAAAAAAGUCUGAUAAGAGUUUAAAUUACUAUGCAUUAUCACGUGAAUGAAUUAUUUUUAAAAAAGGCUGAUAAGAGUGUAUUAAAUUAGUAAACACAAAAAAAAGGAUGAAAAAUUAAUUGGGACAUAGAAGGAAUUAAUGCAUUGUUUUUGUGAAAGAAGAGAAGGAUAGAAUUGAAAUUAAAAAAAUCUAAAAAUUACACAAAAUUCGGUGUAAUUUUUGGUGUCACACCAAAAUGGUGUGAUUUUUAGAGUUGGGUUGGAGAUGGUCUUGUUGUGUUCGUUUAAGGGAGAACGGAAUGAGUAAAAACAAAAGAAAACAUUAAAGUAGAACAUAAGUUCGUUUUUUUGGUUGGGGAGAAUGGAAUGGUGGAAUAGAAUGAGUAAAAACAAAAGAAAAUAAAAAAUUAGUGCAAAGUUAUUGUGGUGCGAUUUGAGAAAAGAGUGGAAAUAGGAGAGAAUGGAUCAUUCCUUCUCGAGUUGGGGGGUGACAUCUAAUUAAUGGUUUAAGAGAAUGAAUUAGGAAGGAAGGAAAGUUUUGAACAAGUGUCGAUAAUAUAGUUCAAAUCUAUACCCUUACUUUUAAAUUCAUUCACCCCAACCAACCACAACAUAAUAUGCUAAUUAAGUGAACUUACGAAUUUUGGUACUCUGUCCAAACAAUUAACAUUUGGGACGAUGUAAGAUUCGCCAAUAUAGUAAUGGCAACUUAGAUCUUGCAGAUGAACAGUAGGGCGUAGGUCAUUCCUGUUAUUGUUUUCUUAGUUUUGGUCAGGACAAGUUAUUGUAACAUUGUAACGCUCCCAUCUGCAUUUUGACUAGUGGAUUUCAUUGUAUAUAUCAGCCUUCAAGUUUGACCUGUGCUUGCUCUCAAUCUUGUAUCUGAAUUUAUCAUAAAUAAUUUUAAAUACCUAAUUGAAUCAUUGGAAAUUUUCUUUUUCUCUCAUUUUAUAUGGUUGAUUGGUUGUUUAAAUUUGGUUAGUCAAAGCUGUGCUUGCAUGUAUGUGCAAAAACAUUUGUACAUGGUUUUAUUAAUAAAUAGUUGGAAUGAACUGUUUUAAACAUAAGGACAGCGACUGGGAUUUCGAUUUUUGGUUCAUAGUUAUGGCAAGUUUUCAAAUUGCCGAGUAUAUUGCAAAGUGAUAAUAGUUGGAAACCUCGAGCUGGGUGUCGAGAAUGGAGUCAUAUCUUUUUUAAUCAUGCUGCUAUGAGUGGAGUGGGAUUCUCGUAGAUAAUUACUAUCUUUGUUAUUAUUAUUAUUAUUUUAUUAUUUCUUUUUUACUGCUAGGCAUGUCUUCUUACUAUUUUCUGUGGGAUAUCUAGUUUUGUGUAUGCGUUAUAUAAGGAUUAUGGAAUAUGGUGCACUUCUAAAUUAAUUGUUACAACUCAUCACUCAUGCAUUGAGCGCCAGUUUUAUGCUUGUAUGGGGUUUUUUGAAGUACAAACCUAAGAUUUUAUUAGGACGUGCAAAUUCAAAUUUAUCACUGCAAUUAUAGAUGCCAGUAUGCCCCUAAAAAAUUGGUUGUACAUGGUUCAGUUCAGUAUCUAGAUUAGAUUGUUACUAUAUAAACAUGCAUAAAAAUUUAAACAGAUGAAAGAGUUGUUUUCAAAAUGCUCAAAGAAUAGAAUGCUUACUGUACCAAAUAUUUCCAAAUGAUAGCUUGGGGAUUACGACAUAGCCCUGGGUAGCUGAAGUGGGAAAAACAGAAAAUGAUAUGUUGUCUUUGCUUCCUCUUUCAACCCCUGCACCUCCACAUAAAUCAGUUCUCAUUGACGAUAUUAAAAUGCCAGAUUUCAAGCAGUUCUUUGAAAGCAAGGGUAUCCAGGUACAUCAAAAUGUCUAUAGUUUAUAAUUAUUGAGUUGUUUAUAUUUGAUCAAGUCCCAUUCCUGAGAAGCCCUUAUCCGCUUACUAGGAAUGGUCAUGGAUGUUGCUAAUGGGUAGAUUCUUGACAUCCUUUUCAGGUGGAAUUUGCUGGAGUUGGGGCGAUGAGAUGUGAGGAGCAUGUGACACUGCGAAAGGUUGGGGAUGCAAGUCAGAAGGUAAGAAGAACUUUACCAUUAUUGUAUAUUACUAACCCUAGAGGUUCACAUUAGGGAAAUUGCUAUUCAUGUCACCAUUGUGUUUGACUCUGGCAUAAAAAUUUUGUGUAGGAUGGUGGUGCUACCAUUCAACAAAUCGGUGAUUGAAGGUCCCUUGUCGGCUUGUCAAAGGAAUAUCACUUUAUCAGAAACUAUAUAUAUUCACAAUUUUAUUUACUUUGAUCCUGAGCACCAUACGAAAUUGUAAUUUUCUGUAGAAUGUUAGCAGUCCUCACUCUUCAGCCGUCUGUUGUUUAUCUUUAGUGUAUGUGAGCAUUCACGUCGGGAACCCAAUCCAUAUCCCUAUAUAUUUACUAAAAACAGCAAGUCCUCAAAAAUUUCCCUAAAAUUAUUAGCUCUUAGAGGACUCUCAUUGGGAGCCCCAUUCCCAACCCCAAAAUCAUACUAAAUAUAGUAAGUCUCUAAAAUAAUUUUUAGAAUUUAGUUUUCUGUUCAAAAGUUCCUGCAUUCCCUUCCCCAUCUUCAUCUUUAUUUUCAUUUUUUAUUAGUUUGUUUCUCUUUCUUUGUCAGAAUUUGAAAAGUUUUAGAUAAAAAAGAGUAAAGUACUGGUGGAGCUGUGUGUGCAUGUUCAGGUUGGAGGUGAAAUGGGGAUAUACAGUGUAACCGCAUAUUUGGGGGCUUGAUUGUAGUCCCUAACCCUAUACCCCAUUUUGAGGCUCCGGAUGGAAGAUGGAUUUUAGUAAAAAGUUAGAUAUUUCCUCAAAUAUUUGAAGAUGGGGAUCCCAUUGGGAAUGCUCUAAAAGAGAACGAUUUCCAUCCCAUUCCCUAUCCCCAUCCUCAUAUUCCUUUUACUUGCUUCUUUAUCUUUAUUAUAUCUGAAAAACAGCCGGGUUUACAUGUAAUAUGCGAUGCGGGAUGUACUGUAUGUCUCCAUAUAUGGGGAUCCAAUUUUGAACUGUAUAAUUCCUCAUUUGGGGUUUCCAAUGGAGCACUGCCUUUGCACAAAUUAGUAUAAAUAUCCGUAAAUAAUGAAGAUAAGAUGCAGAUGAAGAACUGGAUUUGAAUGCUUAUGCUACUAGAGACUUGCAUAGGUCAUCACUCGGUGAUAAAUUCGAUCAAUCCAUAGUUUUGCAUAUAAAUAACAAAUGAGGGAUUUUGGUUCAAAUUCAUUAAUCAUAUCUGGAUUUUGUCACUUUUUUGUUUUGUCUUAGACUCUUGAUAGUGUAUUGACUUUGUUUUCUCAACCUCGCAGUUGCACUUUCAACGUUUUGCGGCUGUGGUUUGGUUUUGCUUGGUUAUCGAUUCUAGUUUUAUGCCGUGCGAGUUAAUGUUUGUUACCGAUAUUAGUAUAUCGCUUUUGCAAAGAAAGUUCUUUGUUAGGAGGAUUAGGGCCCGCACAGGAUAUUAGGACAAGGCAAUACAUGUGCCUGUUUGGGGUUAAGAAGCAAGGGCUUCAUUUGAGCGGAAGCCCGAAAGAGAAGCUGGGCUUGCCUUUGGGAAAAAAAGUCUAGCGCUUAAAGUUGACUCCGGAAGAGAAAAAACAGAAGUCAGGAAUCCAUGCUUUUUUUAUUCUCUUCUCACCUUCCAAAACACCACCUCACUAACUAACAGAAAAACACAGCAGUUGUGCUCUUCUUUAAUGAGCCUUCAUUAUCUGUGUAUCUCCUAGGCGUGCUGGAUUUAUUUAAUUUAUAAGUCAUAUUUAAUGUGAAAUUAAUAUAAUUUUAUUCGUAGAAUGCAUUUACUUGAUUAAAGUUUAAUACUUCAUUUAUCAAAACUUAUUUCAUAUGCAAUAUUAAAGUGUGCGCUUGUAUUUUUCAAGUUUUUUUAUAUUAAAGACAAUAAUAUUGCUCGUUUUACGAUUCAAAACCUGAAGUUAAAUCUGAAUUGAUCUUGAUGAGAAUAAAUUUAAUUUUCUAUGAAUGAUUUUUUUACCAUUUUUAUCUAAUUAUAUACAAUAAAACUUAAGUAUAUAUAUCCGUAAUUUUGUUAGUUUUACACAAUAAAAAAUGAUCCUUAAUUGUUACAUUAUUUUUAUUUAAAUUAUCUGUGUUUAGUAUUUUGUAUUUAAAUUUCUAAGCAAGUUUAUCUAUUAUCAAUUUAUAUUCUUUUGAAAAUAAAUCACUUCUUUUAAAUUUAGCCAAACAACCCCCAUAGUUGUUGUAUUAUAAUUUGGAUUUGGAUUAAAAUCUGGAUUUGUUUCCGAGGACAGGCUUAAUUAUUAACACAAAUAACUUGUUGCUGCCAUUUCACUACAACAAUCAUACAACAUUGUUUGAAUUUCCAUCGAGGUUUAGCUACUUGGGUGAUUGACAGGAAAGCGGGAAUUUUUUUGAAUACGAGAUGGGGAUCAUGGAAGGUUUUAUAAUAAAUUUGGGAUUGGGGUGGAUUUUGGGAUUAGUAUCGGUCUGUUUCGAAAUUUUUUCGAUUUUUAUGAUAAAUAUAAUAUUUAUAUAUUAAUAUUUUAUAAAAUAUUAGUGAUAAAUAUUUUAUAUAUGUAAAUUUAAAUGAUUCCCAUCAUUUUGUUGAUUAAAGUGUUUCAUGUAUAAUACAAAUUAAUUAUAAUAAUCUAAUUUUAUCUUUUACUAUUAUUAUUAAUACGUGUUAGUUUGAAUUGGUGCUUAAAAUAUUAUAUAAAAACAGAAGAAUAUUAUACAUCAUGAUUCAUGAUUUACAAAUAUAGUUAUAAUUAAAAGUUAUAUUAUUUAACAUAUAUUAUUAUAAUACUUUUGAAAAGAAGAUAAAUUUCUUGAAUGUUCGCGGGGAUUCGUGUUAAAGCCAGUGUUACAGAAAUCGGGAAUCGGACCUAAUCGGUCGAGCUACCGAUUUAAGGAUUAAUCGGAAAUCGGGGAUUAAUCGGAAGGAUUAAUCGGAGUUAAAAUCGGGUUUCUUUUAAUAUUAAAAUAUUAUUUAAUAUUUAGUUAUUAUUAUAUUAGCUAUUUAGUAACUAAUAUAUUUACUAUAUUCAUAAACUCUAUAAUUAUUCAUAUUUAAAGUAAUAUAGUAUUUUAAUUUUAAUAAUUUAUCACAUAUACUUCGAUUAUGAAAUAUAUAUAUAAGGAUUAAUCGGAUUUCAAAAAUCGGAUCGAUGGCCGACCUUGCAGAGGAUUAAUCGGGGAUUUAUCGGUUAAAUCGGAGAUUUUUAGAACACUGGUUAAAGCAGGGAUCGCGGGGCAAAAUAUUCCUCUCUGGAAUCGGGAUGGAUUCGAAAGUUGAUAUUCGGUUCGGGAUUCUGGGAGAAGAAUAGCAUUUUGCCAUUUUCCCAUCCCCAAGUAACCCCAUGCGCCUAUAAGUUUCAUCUAAUGUGUGAUUGUAUUCUUUUCUUUGCACACAGUGACACACUUGCCAGUAGGGGUGAGCAAAAAACCGAAUAAAUCCGAAACCGAAACCGAAACCGUCAAAAACCGCUAGAAUCCGAACCGUAUAAAACCGAACCGAACCCGAAACCGAAAAUUUUAAAACCGAACCCGAAACCGAUUAUGCGGUUCCGGUUAUAGCUAGGAACCGAUCCGAAAAAAACCGAACCGAUCCGAUUUUUAAAAUAAUUAUAAUAUUUAUAUAAUAUUUUAUAUUUAUAAUAUUUAUAGUAUUAUUUAUAUUUUAAAAAUACAAACUUAUAUAUAUAUCUACUAGAAAUCUAGAGUUUCUGGGAUAAAUAGGACUUGGGUCUGUGCUAGUAGUUUGGGCUCUUGAUAUGCUGCUUGCCUGCUUCUGUUUCUUCUUGUUUGCUAUUUUAUUUUUUAGUUGCUUCUUUUUUUGCACGUAAAUUCUCUCUCUUUGCUAGUGAUCCUAAUGCUUUUUAUUUUAUUUCUCUGCUAGUCCUUUACUCCAGAAAGAGACUUCCUUCAACUCCAUCCUGAGUCUCCUGACUAAACAUACACAUUUUAAAUAGCAUUUGAUGAGGUUUACAAUACACUAGCAAGACUUCUGGAUUUGUUUAUUGCCUGUAACUUGAUUUAGUGCUAGUGCUGGUUCACAGAAUGUUCUACCUAGCAGGCAACAUGCAAUAGCGUGACUGAACUAAAUUUGUAUUAAUACCUAUGUAGACUUAUGAAUUUUUAUGUUUUCUAUGUUUAAACUUCGGAUGGAUGCAUAAUUUUAAGUUAAGUUUAAUUAUUUAUGUAUAAUUUUUCUUUUUUUCUUUCAUGCGGUUUUAUAACCGAAACCGAACCGAUAGAAACCGAAUCCGAGGUUUUGGAACCGAAACCGAAACCGAGGAUGAGGUUGCGGUUGAGGUUUUUGAUUUCUAAAACCGAGGGCAUGCGGUUGCGGUUGCGGUUUUAUCCAAAAACCGCACCGAACCCGCAUCCGCUCUACCCUACUUGCCAGUGAUCACUUGUGAGGACAUCUGAUGGAGUAACAUUUAACUGUCUAAGAGCAAGUCCAACUGGUUACCUAUCUCGUUAAUUAUUAUUAAUAAUAUAAAAGAAUAAAUUCUAGUGAGUUUUAAAGGGGUGUAUUGGAUUGGAAUUUUAAAGUAAUUUUUUGCAUUAAUAAAAUCCGAGGGUAUUCGAUUGGAAUUGUUUGAAAUCCUGAGGUAUUCGAUUGAGAUUUUAAAUUAUGCUACAAAAUCUGGUGGUAUUCAAUUGGGAUUUUAAAUUAUGUUUUAAAAUCUGAUGGUAUUCAAUUGGGAUUGUUUAAAAUCUAUUAAAAUCUGAUGGUAUUCAAAUGUUGAUGGAUUUUUUUGGAUUUCAUAAAAUGAUAGAUUUUGUGGCAUUCUUCAGUGUAUUAUAAAUUUUUUGAAAUCUCAUUAAAAUCAAUGGAAUUUUGAAGCAUUUUGCUUAAAUCCUAUCAACUCUAUGACAUUUUAUCAAGAAUCCACACAAAAUCAAAAUCACAUGCAAUUUAUUAAAAUCCAUAGACUAAAAACAAUCCAUUAAAAUUCCAAUCGAAUAUAGUGUCAACUCCAAUAGCAAUCUCUAUAUUUGUUCUCUUAAGAUUAUUUUAAUAAUAAAUUUGAGAGAGAGAAUGAAAAAGGAGGGAAAAGACAAAGAAAGAAAGAGAGAUGAUUAUUUUAUUCAUAAAUAUUGAAUAUGUAAUGGCUAGGAGUUACUUAUAAAUAGGUAAUGGCUAAAAGAUUUAAGGUUAUGAUAGUAAUUUAGAUAACCAUUAAAAUAAUGUUAGAGUACAUUUUUUUGACAAAUUAUCUAAAUGUGAGUUUACGACCUGAUAUAGUAAUUUAUUGAACUUGCUCUGAAUCCCGAAUUAACUGGAAUAUACAAUCUAAAAACAGGGCCGCCACGAUCUCAAAUUUUGGCUCCAGCAUAAAAUUAUUUUCAAAUGAUGUAGUGGACAAGUAAUUUUGAACAUUUGCUACCGUAUACCAGAAACCUCACUUCACUUGUAAACUCAAUUUCAGUAUAUCUUAUCUCUAUCUUAAACUAGAAUCUCAAAAAUGAAUUGACACAUAAUAUUAGGUAUUUUGGCUGAUUUGUUUUUUUUCCUGAAUAAAAUAUUAUAUUUUAUUUCUAUUAAGAAAAUUAAAAAUCAAUAUUAUUAUUAUAUGAUUAAAAUAAUUAAAAUUACGUAUAAACAUUCAAAAAAUUUAUGAAUAGACAUAUAUACUCGUUCAAUUUGCUAAAACCAAAAUCAAGCUUUCCAGAGUACUUCUAAUGGGAGGUCUUAAUGUGGCAUGAGGUUACUUGGCACCUUCUUCAAUAUUCUAUAGGAGUCUUUGGGUACUGAGUUUGGCAAGGAGUGCUAAUCUGGGUGUUAAAGUUCGGCAUUCAUAAAGUAGGGAUUCAAUUUGUUUUUAUAACAUGUUUUCCACACUAUCACUAGAAUAUUUUUGUGAUGAGAUUAACACUUGAUAUCAUGAAAUGUCAAUAUUGGAGUGUUUUAAAAAUAAGGGUAUCUCCAUUUAAUAAUGUGUCAAAGUUAACACCCUUCUAACCAAAUGUACUCAUUUAACCGGGAUGCAAAUUUUGAGACAAAUCUUGAAUUUUCUGGUUCUUAGGGUCCUCAUUUUUUUGGGUAAAAUUUACAAAUUCAUAUGAAUUAUUUUAUCAUGUUUAAUAAAUGAAACACAUAAAAGAAAAUAAAUAUACAUAUUAUCAUAUAUUUUAGUAAUUCGUUCAAUCAAUUUUUUAAUAAAAUAAUUUUGAUUCAUCCUGUAGUCAAUAUCAUAUGAAAUCAAAUCGUAUAAACUUAAAUUUACACCAAAAAUAUUAAAUGAGGAUACUUUAAAAUAUAUCUCAUCUCUAUCUGGUUAGAUUAUUAAAAAAUAAUCAUUAUAUAUUAUAAGCCCAAAUAACAAAAGUAUGUCUAUUAUGAUAUUUAAAUUCUAUUGCUCCUUAUACAAAGUCCAUGCAUAUUUAUCUGUAUAAAUAUAAAGAAUCACAUAAUAAUGUAUAUAAUUAUGAUGUUAAUAUGUUUAUUUAGUAUAAAUUUGUGAAUUUUAUGUAAGCAGAGUUUUAAAGAUGAGGGUGUUUGAACAGAACAUAAAAUAUUCAAAUUGAAUUGAGUUCGAGUAUUUCAUGAAAAUUUAAGAUGUAUAUAUUUUUUAAUAUUUAUAAAAAUAUUCCUUACCAUCCAACUAUAUUCAAAUUUUAAUAGUAUUUUUCUUAUGAGUCAUUAAGAUUAAAUCAUGGGCUUAAGUUAAUAUUUUUUUCUUAGUUAUUUUUAUAUAGUUAGAUAAUUUGUAAUUAUAUAUUUUAUUGAAACAUUAUUAUGUAAUAACAUUUUCAAGUGAAUUAUUAUUUACUAAUAAUAUGAACAAAUUAAAAUAUGCGAGACUCUUUACGUUCACUAUUUUUUGUCAACUUAUUUUAAACACAUAACACAUACAUGUACAUUUUUACAUAAUUUUUUUGAAAAAUAAGUAAACAAAAAGAAUUGACAUUAAAUAUUUCAACUCUUAUAAAUAUAUGUAUAUAUUUUCAGAAAAUACUACUAUACUUAUUUAUUUGUGAUUAGUAUAAAUAAUCCAACCGGUUCUAUAUAUGGAUUAUAAUAUUAUCGGUUUUCUCACUAUUGCACACGAUUGCUAGAAUAAAUACUUAACCCGACCAAAUAUAAAAAUUUAGGGCUUAACAUAACGUAUAUAACCCUGGAAGAAGUGGCCCAAUAUUAUUGCCCUCUUAGUUUUGUUCGGAGUCGGCGUUCUCUCUCAUCCAUAACCUCAAUCAAACGAGAUAGCGAAGGCUAUACUAAGGUUAAAUAGGUUCGAAUUAUGAUCUUUUGUUGUUGCUGUGUGUUUUAUGUUCUUGCAUUGGGUUACCAGAUAUAUGUUUACUAGUCCUUAACUGUUUUGUAAAAUUCCUCAAUCGAAAUAAUAUAACUGUGUGAUCUUUUUUAGAACUCCUACAAAACUUUAGUAGUGUGCUAGUCAUACUAAAGCUUGUACAAAUUAGUAUUUCCGCGUGAGGAAUCCAUCUUGGCGGAAGAUGUCUGUGUAGGCUAAGCGAAAGCUUAUACCGGAACCCGAGUUUGCAAUGCACUGGUGAUAUGUUGUGUACUUCUAUUAUGAACCCAAUUGAUCCCUAGAAGAAUCUUAUUCAUUUGCUAGAGCACCCAGUAAAAUACGUAGUUGCAUGUAUUUUGAACCUUGUUACAAUUUGAGGUACCGGCUGAAGUAUGCCCCCAAACAAAGCCCUAGUAUAAAGAGGCUUGCAGUAGUAAUCGGUGAAGUUAUUACCAGGUGCCAUGUGCUCUGUCGAAUUUUCACUACUAGAUUUUUACAUUUAGAUAAUUUAAAACAAAUAUUUGUGACAUUAAUGUAUAAUGUAUUGAUCUCAUUCUCAGCUUGUUAAACUUGUUCGUUAUAUGUUUGAUGACGAGAAUUAUACUAGUGUCUUUUAGAUGUUUGUCUGAUGCAUUACUAUCGAGUGGAACAGUUUUCUCUAUUCUUGUUGAUACCUUGUUAUAACUUUCUCUACAUUUUUUAUCUUUUCUAGAACUAUCUACGGAAGCUCUAGCAUGUUGAUAGUCAUUUAGUCUUGGCAUUUUUAGUAUAAAUAUCUGCUCACCCUGAACAUAGAUUCCGGCUCUGUCACUGGUUUUGCUUGCAGGUAAGAUUUUUUAAUCAUGCAAAGCCUUGGUGGAAAGAGGAAGACAGUUUGGGAACGUGAGCCUGCAUUAAACGAUAUAAGUGAGUGCAUUAUUAUUGUUGACUUAUAUAUUUUAUUGUCGUCGUACUUUUAACUUGAUAUGUGUAAAAGGAAAUAGUCGUCAAAAUUUAGCUCCGCUUCUUCGUACACAUUACAUACUUCUUCACAUUGAAGGAGAAUCAGAAUGCCAACCAAACAAUCUUUUUAGCUUGAGGAAUUACAACAAGAAAAUUUCCUCAAACUUUUCUCUUCUCAAGUAAAAGAUAAUUCUAUACUAGCUUUUGUAUGUAUUGGGAACCAAUUUUCGGCACAGAUGUGGUACAAAAAUGAGAUUUAAUUUCCGAGGAAAAGGUAUUGAUAUAGAUGACUUUAUCAGAAUGCCAACCAAACAAUCUUUUUAGCUUGAGGAAUUACAACAAGAAAAUUUCCUCAAACUUUACUCUACUCAAGUAAAAGAUAAUUCUAUACUAGCUUUUGUAUGUGUUGGGAACCAAUUUUCGGCACAGAUGUGGUACGAAAAUGAGAUUUAAUUUCCAGGGAAAAGGUAUUGAUACAGAUCCUGCCUGUGGUGGUAAUAUAAAUUCACCAGAAAUGAAUAAAUUUUGUGGUGAUGUUUGAACCUAUAAUUAGCCUGUAUAUAUAGUCAUGUAGUCCAACUACUAUGCCGCGAGUCCUUUCCAAUGACAUUUGAUGAUAGGAUUGAUAUUUUUAACAUUACAGACACUGAAAUAAAUUGGGCACUGUUUAUUUUGAUGAAUACAAAUUAACUCUUAUGUAUCAGAGCAUUAAACCUUCAUAUAUAUGCUUCUAAAUUCAAUGGGAGUAACUUGUAGUGGGAGGAAAAUACUUAUACUUACUAGUAAAACCAUGACUUGGUUCGGUAAUUUAAGAACUUCUUUAGUAUUUUUGGUCUGUCAUAAUUAUCAAUAGCAAUCAUUUGUGUAUGAUUCUUGUUGAUUAUAAUAUUAUCAUUUCUAUCUUGUUUCCAUCACUUAAUUGAUGUGCCAUUUCACAUGUUGGAUAUAUAUACAGGUCCACGUGAUAUGGAAUAUUUCCAUAAGUUAGGUAGCAAGCGACCAAAAUACAAGGAAAAAGAUUGUAAUUUGCAUCUGGAUGUUUAUACCAAGAUAGCUUUGUUAAAGGCUUCUCCUUCGGUUGUUGGCCUUGUAUCUUAUUCUGGUACUCAAUUUAUCCCAUUCUAUUAACUAUAUGAUUUUAUCUUUCGUAUAUAUAAUGUAUUGUCAACCUAUUAUAAAAGAGACUGUUUUACACAAUUGUUUAUGGUUUAGGUGAUGAGGAGAUCAUUCAGGGUUCAGGGACCAUCAUUGAGAGUAAUGAUAGUUGGACCAUUAUUCUGACUUCUGCAAAUUUACUUAGACGCCCCUCACGUGGAGAGUUUGUAGAAAACAGUUUGGUUGAUAAUCUCAAGGUAAAUAGUCUUUUUAUUACUCAGAAUUCAAUGAUAUUAGUGUUUAGGACAUCAAUUUACUUUAAUGCUAGUGGUACCAUGUUCCUCAUGUUGUUAGUUAUUUCAAAUUUUCUUUAUUUGUAGAUCACUGUGCACACAUGUCAUGGUAAUUCCUACCAUGGAGAAGUUGUUGCUCAUGAUUUUCACUACAACCUAGCUGCCAUAAGAUUCAAGUCGGAGAUGCCACUUGCAGCUGCAAUAUUGGCACAUGUGGAUGACUCCAUUAGUCUUGCUUCUGUUCCAUCUUCAUUUCAGCUACGUGCACAUUCGAAGUCAUCAAAUCUUGUCCCUGGUGAUAAAGUGAUUGCUCUAGGGCGUUACUUUGCCGGUGACUAUGACAUAAUGGCUGCUUAUGGAGAAUUUUGGUAAAAUGCUAACUUAUGAAAUUGUGCUCUAUGUCCAGUUACUGGACAUGCUCGCUAUAAAUUGUUACGUCAUUGUGGUUGGCAAGAGUGACUAAACUAUUUCAGUAUCAUCUAACAAAAGUUUGAUAGAAAUGUAAAUCAUAUACACUUUAGUACUGUGCUAGUCAUACUGUAGUUCAACACAUUCUUUCCAUAAAGCUCAUAUGAAUUAGUACAUUUGCGUCAGGCCUCAAGACCUUGCAGAGCGGAAAUCGGUUACUCUCUUGGUUUAUGCAAAAUGCAAAUAUUAGCUGCAUGUGCACCUUCUGUUGUUUCAGCCAUACAUGUACCAUCUCUGCAGAAGAUGUCUGUGUGGGCUAAGUAGAGCUUAUACCGAAACCUGUUGCAAUGCACUGGUGAUAUAUGGUGUACUUCUAUUAUGAACCCAAUUGGUCCGUAGAGGAAUCUUAGUCAUUUGCUAAAGUGCCUAGUAAUAUACAUAGUUGAACUUUGUUAGAACACCAAUUAAGAUUAUUGGCAGAAUACGUAGAGCAAAUAUGCUCCUUUUACUCCAGUUUUAUAUAUAUUCUGGUUCCUUCUUAUUUUGAUUAUAUAUAUAUAUAUAGAUUAGUGUUGUUGCAACUUUGGAGGCUAAUGUUUGUCUACUCUACCAUACUGUUUUAGUUGUAUUGCAUCAGAUUAUGUUUGUUUGUCCAUGAUAAUAAGAUAUUUGAUCUGUGUGUUAUCAGAAUAAAUACUAAUUUUAAUGCACUAGUAAAUUAAGAGUAAGCACAAGGCCGAUUACAUAUUCUUGCUCUCUUUGCCUUUUGUCAGCCUUGAACGUCCGGAGCCCGAAUAUGACUGUAGAGAGCUUUUCAUGGCCAAUUGCAUAAUCACAAGGGUACGUUCUUCUUUGCCUCUUGACAGUAAUAACAUUUUUUUUCUUAUAAAUCUAUAUUGUUGAUAUAUAUUAGUUACUAGGAUGUCCUCAUCCUACCAUAGUUAGCUUUAGCAAAUAUUAAGAAAAAAUAUAAGAACUUAGCAAAAAUCAUGGAACCUUAUGAAGAAAGUAAGAUUGUGUUGUUGGUUGGUUAAUGCUCAUCUUUAUGAGCGCACUGUACAAAGCGAGUCAUAAUGAUAGCCAAUGCUAGCUAAUCAAAGUUUAUAAUAGGUUCCUAUUAAGGAUGCUGAUAACGAUCAUAGCUUGACUAUCAAAUAGUGGAACACGUAACAAAUGAUAUGGUUCUUAGACAUGUUACAAUCUUUCAUCAUCUAGAUCUGUUUAUGUUAGUACUUGCAUAUUAUGUUAUUAUUUGCUUAGCUAGGCACCUCAUCAGGAUUGUUUUUAUGUUAGUACUUGCAUCUUAUGUUAUUAUUUGCAUAUUGGCCUGGCACUUUCAGUAUUGUUUUACUGCCUUCUUUUGAUUGUGUAGUCUGGUGAUGGCGGUCCACUUGUGAAUUAUAAUGGGGAGGUGAUUGGAGUCUCCUUUUAUGAUUAUGGAUUGAUACCAUGGAUUCCGAUUAACAUAGUCGGCAAAUGGUGGGCGCACUUCAAGAGAUCAGGGUAAGUAAAAGGACUAGCUCAAUAUUAUAAUAUGCUAUUGAUCUUACAUUUAUUAAUAAUAUUUGAAAUGUGGUUUGUUGAUUGUAUGAUGCACUUUCCUGGUUUGUUGAUUGUAUGGUGCAGCUUUAUUCGUUCACCUAGUUACACCGAUGGUUAGAUGCCUAACAUUUGAAAUUAUGGGGUUUCAUGCAAAUGGGGUUGGUUUUUAUUAAAAACCAUAAUCAGUUUUCUUUUUGAUUCUAGAAUGCGAAUAUUCAUUAAAAUUAUUUGUACUUAAAUGUCAAUUGUUCCCUGUUGCCUUUUUUAAUGCCCAUGUCUCUAUUACUGUGUGUUUGUAAACAUGUAAUUUUUUUUGCCUACACACACACACACACACACGCACACACACACACAUAUACUUAUAAAGCAAUUGUUCAGUUACUUUUUCAAGUUCGUACGUACUAUGACCUAUGACUAUGAGUGUGUUAAAUACUUGAACAAAUAAAACGUAUUGUAAUUCAUGUCACUUGUUGGCUGUUGCUAAAUAUAUAGUGUUAGUGUUUAUGUGCGGCAUGACUUUUAUGUGAACUUAAUCAUUCAAGUUGUAACAAAUCGUUACUUGCAAUAGGGAAUACUGCCGCCCUGCUCUCGGAUUUGAAGCAACAAAUCUCUAUGCAGCUGAUUCAUGCAUUUUGGAGAGGGUGAUGCUGAAGUUUCCUAGCAUUUGCAAAGGUGUUCUAAUAGAAAAGGUAACUUACAUCGAGUAGUUAAAAUUACAGUUAAUUUUAUUGAUUUUAUUACUACAAAUAAGUGACAAUAUAAUGUCUCACUGAUCAAAGUGUGUUUCUUAAAUGCACACUAUUGUGCAGGUAGAACCAGGUUCAUCUGCUGAUUUGUCCGGGCUCCAUGCAGAAGACAUUAUUGUUCAAUGCGGUGGGAGAACAGUUCAAAGUUUCCUUGAGGUAUGAGUAUGUUUUUUAGAGUAUAUUUUUUUUAAUGAUUUUAUGGUUAAUGCCUUCAUGAACGGAAUGUGGGUAUAAUGCGAAUUGUGAGAUGGAACUUACUAUAUGUAUGAUCGAAGUCUUUUUUUUGCUUUAAUUUAAUGUCUCUUCGUGUUAUGAAAAGGUCUAUAGCUAAUAUAAUGCUAUGUUGGGUCUAACCAUAUCCUCUGGUCUAUAGAUUUUUAUUUUUAUUUUGGUAUUUUUUGGUGGUGGUGGUGGUGGUUUGGNGGUGUCCACAUAUACAAGACUGAUCUGUAACGGCGGUGUAUCUAUAGUUGUUCUACCCUAUACACUGAUAAGAUUUGUAGAUAGAACAUUCCUAGGCACUUUAUAUUAUGCCUUCUCCAGAUAUAACAGAUAUAACAGGGAAUAGAUUGGGUGUUUGUAGAGCCCACAUUGUACAUUCUUUCAUCAGCUUACUAGAGUAGAUGACGGGGCGUCUUUUACGUUACAAACUUAAAUGUUAUUUAACAUCAGUUAACAAAUUUGAUCUUUAGCAGCUACCUGAUUGUUUGUGUCCACAUAUACAAGGGUGAUCUUAACUGUGGCGUUUGUCUAUGUUACCCGGACUCGGCUGAAAGUGUCCAAACCGGAUACGUGUCCGAGUGUCGGACUCGGCAAUAUUUUGAAAAAAUUUCAUGUUUUUGGCCUAAAAUAAGUGUCGGAGUGUCCAUACCCAUGUCCGAGUGUCGAGUGUCGAGUGUCCGACACGGGUACUCGAGGCAAAAUGAAGAGUCCGGGUAACGUAGGCGUUUGUCAGAAAAGCUUGUGCUCCCUGCUGAUUUACAGCUUUGUUACUGCAAAAAAGUUUCAUUAAGCUGAAAAAGUGAUAUGAGUUAUCUAUCAAAAGGUCACUUAUAUCCAGCAAAAGGUUGAAAUCACCUUAUAAAAAUGGAUUCAUAAAAAAAUUAGAUUUAAAGUAUGAUAGAGAGUUGUUACUGAUUCUGUUAAGAUGUUAUGUAUAGUGGUAUUGGGGGUUUGUUUUCUCAUACAUGUUUCAAUGUUAAUCUAUCUGUAGUGUUGCCUUCUGUUGUGUCAUCGACUACAACAAUAUGAUUCGUAAUCUACUGAAAGGUUUGGACAAAAGCUGCAAUUGGUCUAACUUAAUUUUAAUAUAAAACUGCUAUAUAUGUUAACCUGUUGCCUUGAAACUAGUUAUAGCUCAUUCUUUUUAGUUUUUAUAUAUCUGAUAUAUUGAAUAUUAGCACAAAUACUCUUUUGAUAUCCUAGCAGCUCCAUAAUGCAUCUAUAGCUGUUUUACCUUAUACAUUGAUAAGAUUUGUACAUAGAACAUUCCUAGGCACUCUAUAUUAUGCCUUCUCCAGAUAGACACAGGGGCUGGAUUGGGUGUUUGUAGAGCGCACAUUGUACAUUCUUUCAUCACCUUACUAGAGCAGAUAAUAGGGCGUCUAUUUGCAUUACAAACUUAAAUUUAUUUAACAUUAUUUUACUUAUUUGAUCUUUUAUCUGUACGGCAUAGUGAUAUUGCUGCAAUGAUAAAGUCGAUAGCUCAGAAAUAUGUUUGUAUGGUUGUUCUUGGAAUAUUCUCAAAUCCUUCUAGUGGAAAACAAUUUUAAAUUUAUUUUAUAUGUGCUAUGUAUCUGCCUAUCAGUUUCAGUUGUUGAGUGUAAUCAGCAUACUAAUGUCAUGCUUCUGAAAUGUUUUUGAAGCUACAUCAUAUUACUGUACUGGCGACUAAUUUUUGUGAUAAACAACUUGUGACCAUAAUUUAUCAAUGUUUAUAUAUUUGUUAUAUUGCAUGGGUAAUGCAUUUUAGUAGUUACCUUGGAUGUGGUGUGUUUAUAGUUCUUUCUUGUGGUUCUUCUCUGCGUAACUGAGUUUAUGAGAUAAUUAGUUAUGGUCUGCAUUCUCUCACUCAUCUGAAGAAAUUACUCCCAUAUACUUGACGUGGUCUAUAUACUGUUUCUUUCUUCUCUGUUAUUAGUUUUUUGAGGCAAUAUGGGACAAAGUUGGAAAUCUUGUAGAUUUAGUCGUGGUACGUCAAGGGAGUGAUACUCUCUUGAAUCUUAAUAUGCAUGUUGAAGCGACAUCAGAUCGCUUGAAUAGGUCAGUUUUUUUCAUGCAUUGACCAACAUCCACUAGUAGCACUCCGAUUUUUUAUUGAAUAUCUUGAUGUUUCAGGUGGCCUAGUCGGACCUACAAAUGAUAAGAAACUGAUUAGCUUGGCACCUUGAUUAACAGGUAAGACUUGAGAGAACUUUUUCAUCAAUAUCAUUUCUUGUGACCAUGAAUACAAUUGUUAUUCACUGUUGUGGUAUUAUUGUAUCAAAUGCCCGCACUUCUGUGAACAUGAAUCCUGUUGUAUUUCAGUACUCUUGUCGUACUAGAAUUUCAUGCUAUACGUGAUAUUUAAAAUAGUUCAUUAGUGUGAGACAGAUUGGGGACAUGCAUUAUUAAAUUUAUAUAUCUGUUGUGGACACCUCUUCUUCUCAAUCGUCACUGGUAAUUAUUAUUUCUAGACAGUCCUGUAAAAAUAUAUUUUUUGGUGAUUCUUUUAAUUCAAGACUCCUGUUUUUAGAGUAAGAUAUAGGGUUUUGUAUCUGAGAAGACUUCUUAAUUUGAUGUAGCGCUUAAAUCUAUCCAAUCCACUUAGAGAAUCACAACUUACAAAUAUCGUCUAAAGAUAACCUACAGUAUUACAAGUUAUACAUGUAUAAAAUGCGGCAAAAACUAUACUGACUAAACUCAAGUGAACCAUGCCCCCAAACAAUCGGAACUGGACAUAUGUGUGAACUGGUCAUAAUCAUAUGUAAUGCCCUAGAAUACGGAGACUCGCCAUAAAUAUCAAACUAAUGAACUCGUAUCAUGUUCUCUGACUGGUCACGUGGUUUAGCAAUUUCUAUAGCUUUGUUUUAAAUAAUCAAUGAAGGUUUUGAGUUCUAUUAUUUUAAUGAUAUCUUGGGCAUGGAAUUUGUUUUUUUUAUGCCACUUGUUUUUGGUCUCAAUCACCUAUUGUCUUGUUUUCUCCAACCCCGCAGUCACACGCUUUCUAGCUGGGAUUUGGUUUUGAUUGCUUAUUUAAAAUAAUUUUAUGCAUUGCAGGGUGAACUGUUAACAAUUUUACAACAUCCUUUUUGCAAAGUGUGUUCUCCGUUUUUAGGAUGAGAUCCUGACAGGGAAUUUAGCUUGGGGCAACCAACUAACAUGGACAAGUUUUCAGAUGACGAGAAAAAGUAAUGCAGUUUUUGACCCGUCUUUGGGGAUAAACAUGGUUAUCUGUAACACAAAUGCCUUGUUGCUAUGAUUAUUUAUAACACAAUAUAUGUUAUUUUCCUACGACAAUCACACAUCUUUUGAAUUUCUGUCAGUAUUAUUGUUUGCUACUUGGUGUUCUAUGGUUCCAACUUGGGCCAUUAUUUGUCAUUAAAAAAAAUCGUUUUACUCAGUAAAGUUUGUAUUAUGUAAACACAUGUUUGGUUUAUCUUGCUUUUAAAAAAUUAAUCAGUAAUUUAUGGAGGCAUGUACUUUUCCUUAGAGAGCAAGUACUUAUAUCUAAAUAUACAUAUUAUUAAAAAGGGUUAAUUAUCUAGUUGGUCCCUGAAGUGGGCUUAAUGUAUCAAAUUGGUCACUGAACUCAAAACGGUAUUAAGAUAGCCACUGAAGUGGCCAUAAAUAUCAAACAAAUAACUUGAAAUAUAAGUUCAAGCAGUAAAAUAUUAUUUAUAAAGUUUUACACAUUAUUUUUGAAUGUUACCAAAACCAAGUAAAAGGUUACGACUUCUAAUAUUUAUGAUAAUAUAUUUAGAUUUUAUCAAGUUUAUUUAUUAUUUAUUUUUAAUUAAAACAAAGAAAAUAACUAUAUAAUAAAAUAUAAAUAAUAAAUAAACUUGAUAAAAUAUAAAUAUAUUAUUUUAAAUACUAGAAGUCAUAACCUUUUAGUUGGUUGUGCUAACAUUUAAAAAUAAUGUGUAAAACUUUAUAAAUAAUAUUUUUACUACUUGAACUCAUAUUUCAAGGUACUUGUUUGAUAUUUACGGUGACUUUUGGGACCAUCUUGAUACCGUUUUGAGUUUAGUGACCUACUUGAUACAUUAAGUCCACUUCAGUGACCAACUUGAUAAUUAACCCUUAUUAAAAAGUAUAAAAAUUUGUCUUCUUUUUGAUAUCAAAAUGAGAAUUUUUCUAACAAAAUAAGUCCUUAUUCCUAUAAAUAAUUUCAUAAGAACACAUUUAUAAUCAACAAGAUGAAAGUAAAUAUUAACACCAAAUCAAUAAGUUACAAUCAGUUAGGAUAAUUUAGUACAGUAAAAGUUUAUACUGUAAUAAUCUAAUAUGCUAUAUUUUGGAAUAGAUAUGGUUAAUGCAUUUUAUAAAACUAAAUUGUAAAAGUAUAUGUAAAGUGAAGAGAGAUAUACUUAAUCCAUUUUAUAAAACUAAAUUGUAAAAUUUAAAAGGGUCAUGUUCCUUACCAGCCGAUUGCCGAGAAGGGGUUAUCUAACAUAUUGUACGAGGUCGUUAGAUUUAGAUUUCAAGGCUCAGAUCCAAUGUGAGUUUUUAAUAUAUGAGCUAUAAAUAUCCGCUGAAUAGAAGUAUGCCUGGAAAUGGAGUUCUCCUUUUCACGGAUAAUAUGUGCGGACCCGUUACAGUGUGUUAGAUGAUAGAGAUGUGCAUGGUGCGGUUUGGUGCGGUUUGCACUUAAAACCGCAACCGGAACCACAUAGGUGCGGUUUCUAAAAUUUGAAACCGAAACCAAACCAAAUAUCAUUGGUGCGGUUCGGUUUAUUAUAUAAGCGGUUUCGGUUUAUAUGUUGCGUUUCGGUUUUCAAACCAUGAACCCUUUAUAUUGUAUACAUUUUAGAAUUUUAUAAAAAUAGCUUAAACUUUGUUACCAAGUAGAACUAUUUAUAUUAAUACAUGCAAAUUAGCAAAAAACAAAGAGAAGAAUUCUACAGGCAGAAAAGGCAUAACCAUAGUGUAAUAGUCUAAUAUCUUGAAUUGACAAUAAGGAUGCUUUACAUUUCUAAGCAGUAAGCAGUGUGGUCACUAGACACUAGACAGUAGGCAGUGUAUCACAUAUCCAAUUAUAUAUUUUAUAAUACAUAUGAUUUGUAUAUUCAAUUUAAAUAUAUAAAUUAAAUAAUUAAAUAAAUAUAAAUAUUAUUGCGGUUCGGUUCGGUUUGUAUUCGGUUUUAAUAUUGUUGAAACCAAAACCGAAACCAAAGUAUCGGUGCGGUUUUUAUUCGGUUCGGUUUUUAUUCGGUGCGGUUUCGUGCGGUUUUCGGUUCGAUUUCAAUUUUCAGUUCGAUUUCUGCUCAUCCCUAUUAGAUGACCCCUUCCCGGCAAUCGAUUGGUAGGGAACUGGACCAAAGUUAAAAUAUGUAAAGUGAAGUUUGCACCUAAUAUUUGUGAUCAGUCGCUUGAACAUGCAUAUAUAUUAAGUCGGUAAAAAAAAGCCCUAGCCCACAGCAUCAAAGUUGAAGGAGCAGUCAUUCGUUGAAGGAGCAGUCAUUCUCGGUUACUCCACUUGUUAUCAAGCUCCGAUUUAGAGGUAAGAAAUUAAAAAACUCUAGGCUCAACUUACCUUUGUUCAGCUAUCUCUUGUUGUAUGUGCUGAUGGUUGUUUAGUUUAUUAUUCUAAUUAAGGGUAAAUUGUCCUGUGAGCUUUACUAAUUUCACUGAAUAUUUUUGAGCAUUGGGAUAAUGUGUUUUAUAUAUGGAAGAUGGUCACGAUAACUGAAUGUUGUCAGCAAAUUAUCAUUUUUCACGGAAAGGAAAAUAAUAUUUUAGGUUAAUGUACUGGAUUAUAUGACCCUUUAUUUUCGAUAAAGACUGAAUUGCACUUGGAAUAUUUUAGCGGGAUCUGGGUGGAGCUGAUAGUUUGAAGUGAACGCACUGUUUGGUAAUUGGUAGUUGUCUCUAUGCGUGUAGCAUAACUUUUGCUGCUCUGUAGGGAAGCAUAAACCGAACUGAAUAUCGAAACAAAGUCAUAAAUUGCGUCGAGUAAACCGCACUGAAUAUAAUUGAACCGACGAUUUUGUUCUAGUUUGGUGUCUGGAGUUUGCUGCACCAGAACCAAAUCAAAGCGGACUCUGUAGCAAAAAAUAAUAUGUUCUUAAGUUGUAUAACUUGAUCAUCAUAUAUAGUUUUGUGAUCUAGUUUGGUCUAUAUAGUGAGGGGGGUUAUCAUAUUCUAUUGACAAUCAGAUUGCAGAGCAUGCUCUAGAUUCAAAUGAAGUUGAUGAUCUAUCUAUAAUGUAACAUAAAGCAAACAUGUCCUGCACAAUACACUGGUCUUAUGUUUAUAUGUGUCUGGUGAAAGUGCAAUAAUGUCAAUUUCUGUUGAUUCUUGUUUACGCACUUUGAAUUGAUAAAUGAUAUGUUGAGUAUUUACUGGUUAAUUGUUAUAAGGACAGAAGAGCAUGCAAUUCAACUUUAAUACAAAAUGAAUCCUACUUACGAACCUGUCAAAGACUGGUUAGCAGUUAUAUAUGUUGUUAUACCAUUUUGUAAUCUUAACAUUUUUCGUUAUUAAAUAGAUACUGCAGCAGUUAUAUCAGCACUACAUUGCAUCAUGUUCGUCCCUAGCUACUGCUGUGUGAACUAAGAGCAUCCUUAAUACGAGUAACUUGGUUCAUUGAACCGCUAAAAUAUAAAAAUAGAAAACAAGACAUUUAGGAUACACUAAAGGGCUCAUCAUCAUGAUUUAAUAGAUGUAGCCAUUUAGUAUAGUCGGAGAUAACAAGACAUGUUCAAGACAAAUAAAUUUGUGAUACAUGAAAAGUUGAAAACAAGCAGCCCACCCUUCUAAAAGUAAAGUCUAAUAGGCAUGAUUUACUGAUUUAAGCUCAUUGAACACUCCUACAAAAAUCUUUAAAGAUAUCAAUCCUAUGUAUUUGUAUUGCUUGGUUAUUGAGUCUUUUAUAUGUACCCUACCCUUUGAUGCAAUAUCUGGAAAACAUUUUUAAGUGUUUGGAGUCGACGUCGACGCGAGCUCUCUCUAGUUGUAUGUGUUUGUAUUGCGUAAUUGGCUGAAUUCUUUGGUCUAUGAAUGAUGAAAUUUCAGGUCAUGUCAGGUUUAACCAACCGUCGUUUAUGUCACAUAUGGACUGAUGAAUUCCAGUCAUUUGGUUCCACCCUAAUAAUUUUCGGUUCAGGGGGACACAAUUUUUAAACGUUUUAUCUACGCAACAUGAACCUGAACCAUGACCCAGUAUUUCUAUUGUUGUUCUAGUUACAUGCGUAACAUAACAUGACGUACUUAACAUAUGGCCGCUCUUUCUUUCUCUUCUCCCUGCCUUAUGUGCUGCUGCUUUUCUCUUGAUUUUCUUUCUCCUCUGGCCUCUCUCGCGUCUUCCUUAUUUUCGCUUGCUGUCUCUUUCUCUUCAUCGUCUCUUUUUCUAGCUGGUAAUUUAUGAUUUUUCUCUUACUACAUUCAUUCAAGAUUAUAAAAUCCACACCGAUGCUGUUUGUCCAUUAUAUAGCUAGUCUGCUUACACUAUAAUAAAUAUUGUGUUUGAGGCUGGGGGACUUAUCUAUGGUUAUUCUGUUAUUAUUAUUUGGCAGUUAAAUAUUAAUAAACUAAUAAUGGCUUCACUUGGAUUUGUUAUUGAUAGAACAUCCACAUGUCAUUGAUGUUAACUCGGAAAGAUAUAAUUCCAACUUUUAUAUUCUGGUUAAUAGGCAAUUUCUUCUAAUUUGUCGACUGCACCUGGUUUCUUUCAUAUCAGAAAUAAUGAAGUUUUUUCUCGUGUUUUAUGUAUAUGUGUUGUGUCAAUUCUACUGUCCUUAAAGGAUCCCCAUUUCAACAUGAUUGCACAGCAUACUGUUGCUAUAAAACUUAAAUCCAUUCUUGUAUUUGACAUUGAUUUGUAUGUGCUAUCACUAUUCUUGUAUUUGACAUUUAUUUGUAUGUUCUGUCUUUGGGUGCCAGUUGCAACUAGUAAAAUUGGGUGGCUGCUUUGCUCACUACUGACUCGAUGGUAAUCCUUUUUUCUUUUUCUAAAUCAUUUCUGCAGUUUAUAUUACACAGCACAUAAAUUUAUGAAUCAAGUUUUUCAGUAGAGUGUCAUGGGUUAAUAUAUUUCAUUUGUAUUUCUUUUAUUAUAGGAUGCAGUCUAUGAUUCCGAGCGUAUUCAACUUACUCAGUUGUGUGAAAAACUAAAACCUAUUAUUUGGGUCAUUGAAAUAACUGGCAAAACUAAGGGGCAGAUGACGAAAACAGGUGCUACAGGAUUUUCCGUGCACAAUGAUGGUUUGGUAAUGACCUGUGCACACAUAUUCAAGGGAGUGAACUUAACUGAAAUUAAUGUUCGUAGACUUGAUGAAGAAAAUUUUAAAACUGCUAAACUGAAGGAUAUGCGAUUAAAGUGGGAUUUAGCACUCUUGAAGUUUGAUGAGGUGAUUGAUUGUAGCUGAUGGGUCGAUUUGGGAAGGUCAACCCCUGUUGCAUAUUGGGAAUCCGUUCAACUUUUUAGGAUCUUAUUUGAUUGGGCGUGCAUGUUUUCCAUGCGUGGCAGAUGUGAGCCCUCCGAGAGGUAAUGAAACUUGUGGCAGAUUUGACUCAACAGCCAUGAUAAAGACACCAAGAUACCGAGUGAUGGGACACGUGUGGAAUAGCGAAUAUUUUUCAAGCCAUCAGCAUUCCAGUUUUCCCUUUGAAAAAUCUCUUACCCCUUCGGUUCCCAUUAUCCAAUGCAAUGGAAUCAAUGCCAGACCAGGUUGUUCUGGAGGUCCUGUAUUUAAUAUGGAGGGAAAGAUUGUAGGGAUGCUGAUUGCAGGAGGGAAUGACUUUGACAUAGUCACUCAUGUGUCAGCUCUGAGGAUGUAUUUGGCAAACCGUUGCCAAUCCGAGGUUUGUAUAUCCACCAGUGUGAUUUGUUAUGCUAUUAGAAUUAUAAUUAAACAAAUCCUUAAAUUACUUAAUUUUACUAUUGUACAGGACACUUCAAAGAAGCAAAGGACUUGUUGAAAGGACUUCAUUUAGGACAAGACUGAUCGUACUAUCUUAUUUGUUUCUGAGAACCUUUUUAUGUUUAAUCAAAUGACAACAGUUGUAUUAUGUUUAGAAUCCUUUAUUGAUACAAUUGUCUAUCUUAUGUCUUUAGUGUUCAAAAUCCUUGUAUGAUAUAUUUGCGGCAUGGCCGCAUGGGCUUUGCGUUUUUUUCAAUGUUUCACAAACUAAUUUGACAUUAGUAUUUUUACUUCAUUUUUUACAAAAUGUAAUCUUUACAUUAUAGUUAAAAACAAUAUACCUUGAAAAAUAAUGUUUUUUAUUUAUUCAUAAACGUUAUUAAUUUGUAAAAACAUAUAAAUCUAAUUAUUAAAAAAAUCAUGCGAAAAACACAAUAUUUUCUUGUAAUCAGCUAAUCAAUUCCUUAAAUUUCUCGCUUGGAAGAUAUAAUUCCUACUAGAAAUAGUGAAACUUGCAAUGCAUGUGACCUACAAAAUCCCCCAUUCUUUCUUGCUUUUCAUCUCCAUGCCCACUGAAAAAAUUCUUGUGUGAUAGAUACUUAAAUUUGCACAGUUACAGCAAUGCAUUUGUACUUGAGUGUCGCCUUGAUUCAACUAUUUAAGCUUGAGCUUAGUCAUUUUUGUUGAUAUCUUCUUGUUGGGUCAGAAGUUAUGUUCAAGUAAAUGUACAAUUUCAUUCAUUAUGGUACUGCUUGAGCUUAGUCAUUUUUGUUGAUAUCUUCUUGUUGGGUCAUCAUUCAUUGAAGUUAUGUUCAAGUAAAUGUACUGUUCCAUUUAUUGUGGUACUCAAUCAUGUUCACAUGGGUUAUUAAAUAGUUAACUUGUUAGCGAGGCUUUGUUGUCAUCUUUUAAUUGGAAAAUUUUUGUUCUGAGUCUGAUGUUAGUAGCUAGGCUACAUCGUCACAUCCCAAGUCAUCACCGAAACGAGCAACAUAUUCCGUGCAGAGUCCUUCGAGGGACUCUCAUGAUGAGGAUAAGUCCUUGUCGAUGCAGACAACUCCGAACUUUAAUAGUCUUAUAGAGCAGAGCGGGUGAUCAACUUGUGUAGUCAGCCCAACUGCACAGGACCCAAAAUUUUCAUGGCCCCCCAACAUGCUUAUAUAUAAGACAAAAUAGAAAUUAGUUUUGCAAAAAACAAAAGCCACCCACAAAAAUAGACAUACAUAGCCACAAUAUUCCGACUAGAAGAGCCCAAAUUUUAUAUAGUAUAUGUGUGUAUAUAUAUAUAUAUAUAUCAGUUUUUCAACAAUGAGGUCCAAAAUUUAAGUUUAGCACAUGACCUCAGGCUUGCUCCCUUCACAGUUCACACCCUUCAUAUGGUCCGCACUCUAGGAAUUUGGAGGAAUGAUAAAGGGUGACCGGAGUGUAAUGUGAUUGUGGAAGAGGGUGAUUAUGAUGAUGAGAAUAGAUUUACGCGGAGGUAUCAGGCUUUUGAUUGCUUUGUUGGGCUUUUAGAGCAUCCCCAGCGCAAGCUCAUUUGGUGCCUGGGGACGCGUGAAGUGGCGUGGCUAGCUAUGUUUUGCGUUGGAGAAAACCUGAAAAACUAGCCACUGCCGCCAUGCCCGUUUCCGAGAAACUCUGCUGCUUUGGUACUGUACUAGUAUGGCUUAGAUCGUUGUUUCCUUAAUAAUUAUACAAUAUUUUAUUUGUAAUAUAUUAUAUGUUUGUUUAAAUUAAAUAAUAUUAUAUAUAUAUAUAUAUUCUUAUUUAAAUUAAAUAUAAAAAUGUAAUAAUAAAACAUUUAUAAUUAUAUUAUAAAUUAAAACAAAUACUUCCUCCGUUCCUUUAGAAAUGCAUAUUUUUACAACUCAAAAUACUUGUAAAAAGUCAAAGCGACUAAUAUAAAGAACAAAGAGAGAGUAUCAUGUAAGAAAGAUAAGGGCCUUAUUUGGGGAUUAGCGGUUAGCGGUUAGUUGUUAGCGGAUUGAAUUAGAUGUUUUGACUAACUGAUUGAGAUAGAUGUUUUGACUAGCGGAUUGGAUUAGCGGUUUCGUGUAAAACUGUUUGGUAAAUAUUUGUUUCAUUAAAUUUUUAUGACACAUACCAAAACCGCUAACUCAAAAAACUCCUCAAAGUAGCUUUUUGAAAAUUAGUUUUUUGAGCCCAAACUUUUAUUUCAAUCCGCUAACUAUCAAACACUAUUAGAUUGAAAUGGUCAAAUCUCUAACUCACCCCAAACCUCUAAUUUUUUUCCAAAACCGCUGACUUCCAAACACGGCCAAGAUCUGGUGAGACCCAUUAGUAGACCCAUUUAUAAGUGGAACUAGGCUUAUGUAUUGGAGCAGUGACCACAUAUUUCUAAAACUCACUUCAUGUUUAUGUGACAUUAAAAAGAACCUGGACUUGGACUCCCCAUUUGGGAUGCUCUUAAGGCCGAGGUUAGUGUGAAGGUAUGUCUCUGUUUGACUUUGUUUAAGAUGUUCCAUUAGCCCAUCACAGAAUGUUCAGGGUUUGAACCUUGUCACAAGACAAUACGGGUGUCUGUGUGUUUAAUUGCCUCUUUCUUUCUUUCUAAACCUAUAAAAUUCAAGAAGAAUUCAUGCGAUUAUCGUUGAUGCUGACACAAUGCUGCUGGACACUAUCCUCCAUGCCUUGCUGAAUGUGCAGGUUUGUUUGUAUCAGUUCAAGAACUGAUUUUUUGUUGUAAUGGUUCAGAUGUUUCGAGUGUAUCGGGUUCAGAGACCUUUGCGGGAGUUUUAUGUACUGGGUUCAGAUUGUCAAGAACUCUUGAUUAUUAUAAUCUUUCAAGGUGUGUGACUUGUAAGAUAUGUUGAAAUAAAUCAUAUUUGUAAUCAACGUUUUCAAUCUUUCAUAGUCGCAGGGUUUUAAUCAGUUCUGAAUCUUCUGAUUGAUGCCAAAAUUGAGAUAUCGGAUUAGUUUCCUAUUGAACUGAUGAACUGAACUCUGCUUUCAUGAUUGUUAAGUUUAUCUUUCAUUCUUAUCCUAUAUGGUUUUUAAUUAGAUAUAUAAGGCAAGCAUUAAGCUCGCCUAUAAUUACUUUUUUGUCUAUAGAUACUUUUUGCCUCAGACAAAAAUAAUCACGGCUUCAUCUUAUAUAUAAUCCCCCUAUUAUUACAAAACCUAACGAUCUCUCUUAAGACACCAUCGUUCAAGCCGCAGCCACCACAUCACUGAAGCAGCUCGGCAUGUCUGGAUGGGCAUGGUUUUUCACUAUUUUGUGCGCACUCGUGGUAAUAUUUGUAGUAUUUGUCAUCUUCGUCCUUUAUAGCUUGAAAGGGAUGGAUAAUUCUUGAGUUUAUGUAAACACUUGUGAUUUAUGUUAUAGUUGAUUUAUUUAUAUAAGUUGAUAAAAUACUAUGUAGUUAUGUAAUAUAUAAUCUCGUUCUCUAGAAACCUGCAAGUUUUGCUAUUUUUUAAUGAUGCUAUGAUUAUCUCGUCGUACUUUUUUUUCUUCUUCUGUCAUCUCUGCAUGUACUAAGAAGCGGUAAGAGGUUUUUAGAGUACCGGAAACUGGUCGAAUCGAAUGAUUUUGAGGCUAAUAUAAGUUCCGUUUGCCGUUGUUGAUGUAGCAGACAACAAUAACAGUUUUUUCAGAUUUCUGGUGAAAACCUGUUUGCUAAAUUUAAAUUCAGCUUUUCUAAAUAGUUUCCGUGUUUUUGGAAAAAGUUGUUUUUCAGCUUUUACGGGAAGCGGUCAUAUAUUUUAUCGUAAAACCUCACAAAAAACCUUAUUUUUUAUAUUAUAACUCAAAAUACGUAAAUAUAAAAAAAAAUAUCAAACAAUUAUCUGACAAAAGUGUUUUUCUUACCGACACUGUAUACAACAACACAACAGUUUUUAACAGCACCCCAAACAAAUCCUUAGUACAUGGGAGAGUAAAUUUUUUCUGUUCAUCAACUCUUUUAGUUGGAGUUGCAGAUCAAAACUGGUGUUCUCAAAUUUAUUUUCAACAUUCAAGUUGCGCCGCUUGAAAGAAGUUGAUUUUGAGGUCGUAAGAGUUGCAAACAAGGUUACACAUGAUUGCACCGUGUUUUUUAGUUACUCCCUCCGUCUCAAUUUAUAGGCUCAUUUUGGAAUAAACACACAUAUUAAGAAAAAAGUGGUUAGAUAGAAUCUUAUCUCAUGGAUCAUUAAUUAGUGCAUUGAUAAGUGAGAAUAUAGUUGAGUUUCAAAAAAAUCACAAUAAAUAUAGGGAUUUAGUGCAUUGAGAAAUGAGAAUAAUGUUGAGUUUCAAAAAAAUCACAAUUAAUAUGUAGAUAAAUUUGUAUUGAAAGAAGAGAAGGACAAGUAUUUUGGGACAAAUUUUUUUUCCAAACUGGACCUAUAAAUUGAGACGGAGGGAGUAUUUUUGAAAAAACCAAGGUUUUUAACCACAACCAAACGGGCUCUUGAGCUGGUGAUGAGAUUUUGAAGAUGUUGAACUGUAAGAAAGUGACUGCUCUGUACAAGCCAUGAGAUGCCCCUUUAUCUUCCUCAUCCACAUCUUAUUUAUACAUCAAGGUCCAUACAGCUCACCUCAAUCCAAAUUAAUGGAUUUAAUGCACAUGCACAUUCAUAAUUUCUUCUCCAGAAUGCAUACAAAUGAAUUUGUGUAAUGUGUUGCAGUGCAACAAGAACUAAGCAGUCUUUUUACAGUAAAAAUAAUUAUGGCUGGAGCUUUGUUUUUUUUGGCUUUUGAAGUAAUAACUCAUAAAUGGCUUUAAAAGAUUUGGUGGUUGAGGUUUUACCAACCUUCUGGGCUAACUUUUCUGCAUAAUCAAUUGCUUGCACUUUAAACAACAUAGAAUGUCAUCAGUCUAGAGAGUAUAGAGAGAUAGCCUAGUGGUAACUGUUUAUCUUGUGUCGUCUCAAGUCUUGCAUUCGAUUUUCGCUCACUCAUGGUUUAUUUAGAUUUAUUUGGACAUGCUCUAAUAAUGUCAAGGUUUGGAGAAAGCCGGUUUUAGCACAAAUUGUGAAUCUCUGUAACUGACCAAGUCUUGGUUUCAAUUUUCACGCACCCAAAAUUUAUUCAGAACAUGCUCUUAUUAUUUCAAGGUUCGGAGAAUCAUGAAUCAUGAAAAAUAUUUUCUUUCUAGACCAACUCGAGCAUUGUUACAUAAUAAAGAUAAGAGAGAAAAAACGUAAUCAAUAGUAGAAAUCUGUUCUUUUCCUAUAGACUCCAGGUAGACUUGGUGAAACUUGAGUAGUCUCUGUCUCUGUUAGCUGUGUAUAUUAAUAGGCAGUUAAGAGAGCCAAGAAACUACAAAGUUUGGCAUUGUUGAGAGAGUGACCUACAUACAAGUUUCUUCGUAAAAGAGAAAUCGGAGGAACAUGGUGCUAAAGAGAAGCAUUCACAAGGUCAAGAAUGUGUUUCACAGAAGGCUGCUGAACAUCAAGUCAUUAGUCUCGAAAAGGUACAAUCAGUUGUCUAGAGCCCCUUCAUUCAAAAGCAUCCCGAGUUGUAACAGCACCAGAAAAAUACUGCAGGUGGAUAUUUUGUAUAGGGAUAUAUCAGAAGAAUCAGAAGCUGAUCAUGAUGAAGUAGUGGAGGCGAAAAAGAGUAGUAGUGUCACAAAGAGCAUACAGAAGGUAUCUAACAGAAGCGUGAGAAGUAAUGCAGAAAAGAGUAUUAGUAAAAGUACGCGAGAAGAGAGGGUGAAGGAAGAGAAGAAGCUUGCAAGGGGAAGGGGACGUGUAUUAGCAGAGAAGAUUAAAGAACUCGAGAUGGUGGAUGCCUAUGACGAUGAUCAUAUUAUGGACAUAGAAGAAGCUCUGCAUCACUAUUCACUCCUCACCUGUCCAGCUUACCAAGAUAUCGUGGACAAUUUUUUCAUGGACAUGUACUCGGAGUUUCUACUUCCAGAGCCUUCUGCAAGCAUCAACAACUCGAUGAGAAGACUCCACUCUAUGAGGCUGUAGAUAAGAAUCUGAAAUCUUCUAGGCCUUCUAAGCGCGGUAUAUAUUAUAUAAAAUUAAAAUUUUCCAGUCUUGUUUUCUUUGAUUGAUCCUCCAGGUGUAUCUGGGAACAAGCUAUAGAAUUAUAGUUAUGAUAAACCUUUGAUGGUAAAAAAUUUCUCUUCUUAUUAUCAUCUUGUUACAUGUUCCUUAUGAUAUAAAAUUGAGUGCUGAGCGAUACUCUGCACUUAAAACCUCAUAAGCACCUUGAAAUCUUUACUUAAUAAGUUUGGCAUGGCUGAAACAUAUACGAAUAUCAGCAAAUUUCAUCUCAAGACCGACUAUAUCAUAGAAGCAUGUAAACAUGAAAAAUGGAGUACAUUUGCAGAAAACAAGAAAAGGUAUAUCAUCUUCUGAAAUUUUAACAUUCUAGGUUUCAGAACUAUGUAUUCCCAGAGCCCAGAGGUCCUUCUUCUGUGGAUGACAAUGGCACGUAUCCAAGUACACGAAUAGCAUUAGGUAAAACAAAACUGACAAACCGACGAAAGGAUGUGAAACAGACCUACAAAGCUAUCAUCUUAAAUAGCAGAGUGAGAUAGCAAGGCAUUCAUAACCUCUCUAACUUUGUCUAGAGUAUCCUCCACCUGUUUUCCUUGAGAAUUUACGAGGUUUUUCCAUCUACAGACAGACAACAGAUGCUACGAAGGUUAAUGCCACAUCGAGCCAACUAAAUGAUCAAUAAACGGGAGCCGUUCAAAUCACUGUCAAGUACGAGUUUUAAGGCCGAAUUCCUGGCCUUCAAGUCGCAAAGUUUUAACUUAAACAUUCUUCUUCCUAGAUGCCUUCUGCGGAUGAACUCAUCUGAUCGGCAACCAUGAUGCAGGGAAAAAUUCAUAAAUUUCGACAUACAGGUCAAUGGUCAUGAAGAUCACGUUGAAAUCCACUAGUCUACUACAUCUGCGAUCAGUGAAUAUGUUCAGAUGAUCCAGCAUUACGAUCACAAGCAAAUAUAAAUAUUUCAAAUAUUUUUCUAGUAAAAAUUAUUUUGCACUUUUUCUAAUAAGGAGUAUUAGAUCAAAUCCAAUACCACAGAAAAAAAAACCUUGAGUAUUCCAUAAAGUAUUUAAAAAGAAUUUUAUUUCACAUUUCUUACAUAUUCAAUAGAUUACUAUAUUAUUUUAUUCUUAGUACAUUUUGACAAAAUGAACUAAUAAUGUCCAUUUCCAAUACAAAACCAAACCAGUUUUGUAUCAUCUGAACUUAACUUUCUACAAUUUUCCCGAAAUCUUAUAGAAACUUCUGGAACCCAUAAUCAACCACCGGCACCGCCAUACUCCCCCUUAUAUCUUCAAACCCAUCUGAAAAAAACCCUCGUUACAAGCUCAAACUCAGCGAAAAAUCAAACACCUUGUGUGCAACAAUGGCAGACGACGAAAACGCCGUUACAAUCUACACCACCACCGCAAUAACCGACGCAAACAAGAACAGUUCGUUAUCAAUGAAGGUGGGUCUUGCCCAGAUGCUGAGGGGCGGCGUGAUUAUCGAGGUUAAUAAUGCUGAGCAAGCCAAGAUCGCUGAAUCAGUGUGUAGUUGUUGUUGAGAGUGUUGAAAGUGGCAUUUCACGGAUGCCUGACCCGGGAUUAUUGAAGGAAGUUAAAAGGGCUAUUUCGAUUCCUGUAAUGGCGAAAGCCCGGGUUGGGCAUUUCGUCGAGGGUCAGAUUCUGGAGGCGGUGGAGGCUGAUUAUAUUGAUGAGAGUGAAGUGAUUGGUAUUGCUGAUGAGGACCAUUUUAUUAAUAAGCAUAAUUUCCGUGUCCCGUUUGUUUGUGGAUGUAAGGAUUUGGGAGAGGCGUUGAGGCGGGUUAGAGAAGGCGCGGCAAUGAUUAGGACACAAGGGGAUGGGAUGAAGUUAGGUGAUGUUGUUGAGACGGUUGGGAGUGUCAGGAGAGUGAUGGGGGAUAUUAGGAUUUUGUCAAAUAUGGAUGAUGAUGAGGUUUUCACGUUUUCAAAGAGGAUUGGUGCUCCUUAUGAUAUAGUGAUGCAGACGAAACAAAUGGGGAGGCUUCCGGUUGUGCAUUUUGCGUGUGGGGGGAUUGUGAUGCCGGCUGAUGCAGCGUUGAUGAUGCAAUUGGGGUGUGAUGGUGUGUUUGUUGGACUGGAGGUUUUUGGAUGUGGGGAUCCGUAUAAGAAGGUGAGGGCGAUUGUGCAGGCUGUUAGGAAUCAUAGUGAUCCGCGUGUGCUGGCUGAGGUUAGUUCAGGGUUUAAUGAAGGAACGGCUAGCUUUAAUGUUAAUGAGAAUAGUGUCGAACAGUUUGAUGCUUCAAGGACCUAUUAACCGAAGGUUGUUAUGUGAUGUGAUGUAAUCUAGUCUUGUUCCGAUUUUGCUUUGACUGUGUACUGAUGAUAUUUGUAGCUAAAAUUAAUCAAGUUACAUGUCAUAAUCAAUAAAUUUUCAUGAGCCAGAUCAUUGUUGUGUUCCUUAAUUUGUCCAUCUUCGUUAGUUCAAAAGAUUUACUAUGAUCAGUCAAGUGCAGAAAUUUUAUUCUUCCAUUCCAUAUGUUUGUGCCCUGUUAUUUUAGUUAAAGUUGCGGUUUUGUGUAUAUGUAGUUCUCUAAAGCUUGCCAUUCUGACCAUUCCGUGUGUUUGUACCCUGUGAUUUCAGUUAAGGUUGCAGUUUUCUGUACUUGUAGCUCUUUAUAGCUUGCCAUUCUGACCAGUUGAAUCAUGGAAUAUGAAUUAGUAGAGGUAAUCAUACAUUUAGCUUGAGCAAGACUGAUGUGAGAACCUUCUGCCAGUGCCAGUUCUUUAUCGCAAUCUGCAGACAGCCACAUGUGAAUUUAUGUCUAAAACCGGUAUGGCUUUGCUGGCAAUAAGCCCUACUGUAAAUUUUCUGGCAAUUUAGGUGGUUUGGUUUUUGCAUAACCCUAGCUUCUAGCUGUUAUCUGUAAUUUCUUGUUGAAUAUAAGAAUUAGAUCUGUUUUGGAUCACUCUUUUUAGAUGGUGAAUUACCAAAGUUAACCUGUGAAAGAUCACCUUAUUUCAUUUGAACUGAAUUUGAAAGAACUUCAACUGCUAAAACUAUCAACGCAAAUCUCUUGCAAUAAAACACACAAAGUCAGUAGAGGAAGAACUAUAAACCUUACCGCAGACUGUCUGGCCUCCAUCAACGCAAAUAAUCUGGCCAGUGAUGUAUGAAGCUGCAGGAAGGCAAGGAAAUGCCACUAGUGAAGAAACCUCAUUAACUUCUCCACGGCGGCUAAAUGGAGUUCGUGAUACCAAGCCCUGUAGAUCUUCCUCCCACAAUAUAUAUUUUUAUGAUCAGUUAGUAGAAUGCUUAAUGCAGAUUCAUGUCAGAAUGCAGGAGGUAAAUUUUAAAAAAUUACUCUCAUCAUUUCAAUGAGUUCAGAUCUGACGAUCCAGGGCACCACACUGUUGACACAGAUAUUAUCCUUUGCCCAUUCGCAUGCCAAAUUCUUCGUCAGCUGGUUCAUAGCUCCUGUUUGAGACAUAUCAACAGUCAAUAUACAAACUACAAAACGUCAAUUAGGAGGAUACAAAUAUGUAUCAGACCUUUGGAGCAUGCAGAGAGAGAGUUACGUGGAAAAGCUACGACACCAGCUACUGAAGAGAUGAACACAAUGUUCCCGGUUCCUGCUGUUUUUAGUAAUGGAUGUGCAAGCUGACACAGAUGGUAAGAGGCCUCAGAGUUGGUGCCCAUUAUGCUGGAGAAAUCUUCUGCAGUGAAUUCCGGUGCUUCUUUGACAACAAUCAUUGCAGCAUUGUUCACCUAAAAGAAGUAACUCGUCACAUAUCAUUAGAUUUUAUAUAAUAUACGCACAACGGAAAUAAAUUAGAAAGAGUUCUAGAAAGAAGGAGAGAUCAGAUGGCCAAGGCAGGAUCAUACAAGAUUAUUGAGCUUUCUGCCAAAUUUAGAUGCCACAGAUUUUAUUAGUUGCUCGCGUUGGGAUCGUGAUUGCAGGUCACAGACCGGUCCUGAAACCAUGAAGCCUUUGCUUUUCCAUUCUUCUAAACGUUGAUCAAGAUCAUUUUGAGUACGGGAACAUGUAUAGAUUGAUGCUCUGAACCCUGCUAACUCUUCCACAAUCCCUUGCCUAUUUCAGAUUAGUGAAAGACAUCAUAUUAUAACAGCAUAAAUAUUAUUGUCAUAUUGUUACUGAAACGAAAUCCAUCUAAUCCAGGAGGAAUAUGAAGACUCACCCUAUGGCCCGGGUACCUCCGGUAAUAAGGGCAGUUGUUCUGACAAGAGACCAUCUUUUAUCUUCACCGACACCUGCUGUCGUCGUAGCCAUUGUUAUCUUGAGCCCGAAGAAAAUAUGAUCAGUGUGCAGAUCGGCAUGCUGGUGAGUAACUAUUCCAUCUCAUUACUAAAAACAAGAACUGAGCCUGAUGUUAUUAGCUGGAAGCCUAGAUCUGAUUAACGCAACACUUUUUAUUUGUUUUCACUUUUCUUUAUUUUCUCCUUUCUAAUUUCCAGCUUAAUACAGAGCAUAAAGCUUGACUUUACACUUUUUGGUAUAAACAAAGCUUUUACCCUGUAACUUUUACAACUCUGUAACUUUCCACCAAGCAACAUGUUCAAGACUCCUAAUGAGUAAUGGCAAAACUGUACGAAAUCAAAGCACACAUUUGUGACUAUUAUUGUUAGAUGCCGAGUAGAUAUGAAUUUGUUGAUAACCUAGACAGCCAGCACAGAUCAUGACUCAAGCCAUGAUAAUGUUUAACACAUGAAAAACAAAUGCUUUGGGAAGACAAAAAGCUUACAAUCUUAUUAACAGUGAUACAUAGGUUAAGGUAAUAAAGGUCACCGAGUUUAGCACAAAGUACAAAUCAAAUCAUUUUUCAACCAAAUCAUCAUAUUAUAAGACAGGGACGCUAUGUAUCUUAGACAUAGAGCGUCCGCUUUAGCUGUAUUGAAGCUUCAUUUCUUUCCGCUUUUCUUUAGCCCGGAACCUCCAAAAGCGCCUUUCUGUUGAGCCUUGGCUUUGAGCUCCUUCAGUGCCUGCAGAGUACAAGAACAGCCAUAUUACACACUACAGCAAGAAGACGGAGAUUAAUCAUGAUUAGGUUAAAAAGCAUGCAACAAAAUCUAACCUUUUCCUCUUCUUUCUUCUUCUGGAGCUUAGCCAAAUCAUCCUGCAUGGACCAAAAUAUUUCAGUACCCCAGUGUUAACACGAUACUUGAAUUGUCCCAUACCCAUGUAUAUGUUAUAGGCAUAAUUUUAUGGAAGACACUUUAAAUUUAGUUCUCAUACUCACAUUCACGUGACUUAGUUGAUGUUAUAGCAAAGAGACAAUCACACUCCACUCAGGGUUUGCCUUUCUGUUUGUGCUUGGGCAUAGUUCAGGCACAUUAACAUGGUCGAGGGUCUUGAUGAUUGCAACGAGAGUAAACUCAGAUAUGCAGUAUAGUAAUUUUGGAAUAUCAUAUUGUUCAAUAGUUCAUUAUAGACAAUGUGAUAUAUAUCUUCAACUUCGAAAGAUUGAGAAAAUUGCACUAUUCAAGGCUAAUGGAGUGACGGACUUGAUUACAUUUAACAUCAGGGACUACUCUCGCAACACUGACAGGAUUGAUAUCAGUCCCAACAGAAAAGAAAAUUAACAAUAAAUUAGCUUUACUUGUGGUAUAAUUUUGCUGAUUUACAAUGUCUUAUCUAGGUUUCAAUCACGUCCAAAGAUUAAGAAACUGUAGUGCACUAGCUUAGUUGGAGAUAAGUCCAAAAAUCGUGAGCUUAUGGUUUACAAAGACUAAUUCUUCUAAUACCAAAUCUAUGCAGAGGAUAACAAUUAUAGCCUCAAAUUGUUGCAGCAAACAAUCCCUCAUCUAGUACAUAAGCCCCAACAAUAAAGAAUCGAUAUCCUCGGCUAAACAAAUCACAAAUAUUUUCUUACAUAUGCUAACGGCAAAAUUCAAUCUUUCCAAAUUUACAGCACUUCAUCCCCUUCUUAUAAACACAAUAACAUAAAUAAAUUCCCAUACAUUCAAUAUCGAUCCUCAAAAAAAUAACACACACAAGAAGCAAGAAAGGCAACAAAUUGAAAAGGGUACCUCAUCAUAUUCCUUCUUCUCAGCCUUGGGUGCUUUCAGAGGCUUAGCUUUUCCACCUGCAUAAAAAUGAAGAACCCAUAUAAUUUAAACAAUAUUAAGCUUGUUGGAACCCUUUUAGAGCUAAAAUCAUAUGCAAAUUUUACAUAGAAAAGCAAAAGACUAUGUCCUUUUUCGAGAUGUUGAGUGUUCGAACCUUGUCAAUAACAAAAAAGUGCAUAAUUGUGUUAAUUAUGCAAAAAAGAAUAAGAAAAAUACCUUGCUUGGAUGACAUGGUUGCUGAUUUCUAGGGUUGGGAUUUCUUGAAAAAGAACAAUAAGCUGACAGUGUAAGAAAUGAGAGCAGCCCUUUAAUCUAGCUUACAAUGUUUUUCUAAUUACCAAGAAGAAUCUUUGGUGGGUCAUGUUUUGGCUUAACGGGCUUUGAUGGAUCGUGUUUCGGCUUAAUGGGCUUGAAUUGCUAAAUGUAAAAAACGUAAAAAGUCUCCCAGUGAAAACAAGAAUAAAUAUCAAGUGGCUGUAGUUUAGUGGUAAGAAUUCCACGUUGUGGCCGUGGAGACCUGGGCUCGAAUCCCAGCAGCCACAUGAGUUUGUAUUUUUCUUCCUUUAUCGGUAUCAAGACGGUGACUGAAGUCAUCGUAAAUAUCAAAUAAGUACCUCGAAAUAUGAGUUCAAGCAUUAAAAAUAUGAUUAAUAGAGUUUUACACAUUAUUUUUAAUGUUCUCAUAACCAACUAAAAAAUUAUGACUUCUAGUAUCUAUGAUAAUAUAUUUAGAUUUUAUCGAGUUUAUUUAUUAUUUAUUUUUAUUAUCAAGUUUUGUUUUCAUUAUACACAAAUAAUAAAUAAAUUUGAUAAAAUCUAAAUAUAUUAUCAUAAAUACUAGAAGUCAUAAUAUUUUCGUUGGUUGUGGUGACAUUCAAGAAUAAUGUGUAAAACUCUAUAAAUCAUAUUUUUAAUGCUUGAACUCAUAUUUCGAGGUACUUGUUUGAUAUUUAUAGUGACUUCAGUGACCAUCUUGAUGCCGUUUUCAGUUCAGUGACUAACUUGAUACAUUAAACCCACUUCAGUGACCAACUAGAUAAUUAACCCUUUAUUGAUUAACAGAUGGAGUUGUAUGGGUGUACAAAUAUUAUCAAAAUAAUUGAUUUGUCAUGCAUGAACAGUAACCGAUUGCACCAAUUAAUCAAUCAUCAAUAUACUUAUAUAAAGGAGAAGCGAGGGGCGUGUAGUUGGCGCCUCUCAGCUUUGUUCUAUUUUUCUAAUAUAGUAGGUUGCAACGACAUCGUUGCAACAUACCACUACUCUACUCGUUGGUGGUGCCGUUCUAAUGCAACGACAUCGUAACCCGUUAAAUCCUGGGAAGCUAUCGUUCUAAUAAAUUUGAUACACAUAUGCAAAUUAUAUGAGUGAUGGAGAAGAAAAAAUUUACCAAACGUUUUAAAAAUUCUUUAAGUGUUGUAACAUGAAUACUAAUGCAUUGAUCACCAUUUCUUUCAGACAUUCUUAAAAUCUCUGCUGAAUUGAUUAUUGGAUCGCUCAAAUCUCUUUCACUAGAAUUAAAUCCAUUUAACUCAAUAAUCGAAACAUGUGCAUGAAAGUAUCGUGCAAAAUCAAAUUCAAAACCUUCUGUAUCCUCCACAUACUUGUCAUAAACUUCCUUAUUUCAAACAUGUCCUAGUAUUGGAUAUGGUAUAUUUUCCGAUUGUUUAUCACAAGGCCACAUCUUGCACUGGAUGACACACUCGGCCUACAUGAUAUGAUUCAUUGAUCAUAUAUCCCAUGUGUAACAAUAUUUCUUUCUUCCUUAGUGUGCCUCAGCUGCGAAAUUUUCAACGUAAUUGCAUCUUUUGUCACUUGGAAGUUGGAAAAUAACUACAUCCCAAUUUUUCAUCAUGAAAAUUGGUUGGAGAUCUACCCCUCUCGAUUAGACAAAACUUACUUGCAGCACUCAUAAUCAUCUGAUGAUCAAUAGUCAAUCCAGCAAAACGCGCAACAUAUAAUAAUGAGUGAAAAACAUAAUAAUAUGAGUUAUUCACUACUUCAAUAACCUAAGUUAUUUUCUCUAAUAUACCUCGCAUCUUAUCAUGUUGGACAACGUUUGAAUCCUAGAACAAACGAUACUUAAUACUAUAAGUCAUUGACACAUAUGUACGUAAUUCCUAAAAUUAGGCAAAUUAUAGCAUGAGAGUGAUAUAUAUACAAAAUACACACAUAAUCAUAGUAAAAGAAUAAUAUAUGAUAACUAGUUUUUCAAGUGAAAGAAUAAUAUAUGAUAACUAGUCGUACAAUAGUUUUUGAGUAUAGUAGAGUAUUAGAUUUGAGAAAAACAUAAAACUACCAGUAUUGUAGAUAAUAUUGUGAAAACGGUAAAAAAGUGUUGUGCAACGGUAAAUAAAUGUUAUAAACGGUAAAAAAUUAUUUAGUCUGAAUAUUAAAUUUUUGUUCUCUGUGUUAUCAUUUUGGUAUUGAUCAUUGUAAUCAAGGUGGACAUGACUUGUUUAUUAGUGAAUAAUUUAAAUAUUCAAAAAUGAUAAAAUCGACAUAACAUUUAAUGGAACGAGUCAAACUAAAGCAUUAACACUACAAUAUUUAAGUAUACUUGCAUAUCCAUAUGUUUUGAAGUAUUCCCACCAUUUGCGAGCUAUAUUUAUAGGAAUAAAUUGAGUUGAAUCGAUAUCAUAGUAACUGACACCGAUUACUUCUCCGUGGCAAUUGAUUAUGGGAGCUCCAUCACCAACCUACAGUCAUAUACAAAGUCAUCAGUAAAUUUAUCAACAAAAAUAUCAUAAUCUCAUUAUCACCAUUUACAUUAAUCAGGAGAAUUGAGAGGGAAAGANUAGCUGCGAAAAGUUCUUUGCAAUCAUAUUCGGUGCGCUUAAGCCUAAAGUAAUCAAACAAACCAAGAACAAGUAAUCAACAUGAGGUCGAUGUAGUUUUACCACUAAUAUAAAUUAUUAUAUAGACAAUAGAAAAAUUAAAUAUGGCAUUGUCAUAUCACAAAAAUUAUAAUUAAUAUACAAAAUAAAAACCAGAUAAGUAAGGAUGUGCUGUAGACAUUUAUGAAACUGAAAGUUGCUUACACAUAGUAAUCGGGGGCAUUCAUAAGAACAAAAGGCGGAUCAAAAUACUGGCCUACAACAAUAACCCGAUACCCGGGAGUCAGCUUAAAUGCCUCUGAAUUUGGUUUGAGUAAUGGUUGUCUUGCAAAAAUAUCCAUCGAGUCAUCUACAUGCGCUAAUUUUGCAGGUGCAUAACAAAUAGUUCAUGUGCGAUACUUAGGAUUGCAAGAUUGAAGUGGAAGUCAUAUGCACACACUUAUUCGGCAAAUGAUCUACCAUCAUAUGAGUGCAUAUAAACCUGCACAAAAAAUUUCAAAUAUUAUCAUAUUGUAUCUAUAAAGAUAACCAUAUAAUCUCAUUUCAUUCUAAUAUUCAACUUAAAGCUUGGAGAGUAAGUGGUGUCUGAGAACCAAAUUGACAAGAUUUAAAUUCACGAAUAAAAUUUGAAUACAUACACAAGACAAUCAAUAAACAUAUGUGGUAUCAAUAGUAAUACCCUGAGUUUCCUAGCUAGCACGUUUUCCGUAUCCUCAACAUCAUUAAGAGGACACGGAGGACGCCUAAUCAAGUUGGCUGACGUUAAGACAAUGGCCUUAUUAUGGUGCCACAACCCCGGAUGACAUCCUGUAAUUCUACAUAACAGAUUAGAAAUUCAGUAAAAAAAACAAUAACACAAAUGUAGACAAAGGUAAAAGGAAAAUCAAUACCACAAAAACAUUCAAGUGCAACAACAGAACAGCCCGUCUUAAUAGCAGCUUGUUUUGUGGUUUCAUCCGGGAACUUAUUAUCAUCAUUUCCCUUUCUGAAUUUUGGUAGCUUCGAAGAGUAUUCAUACAGGUACCUCAUCUCGCUUGCAACUAUAUAUAUAUACACAUAUUAAUUUACACACCACUUUUAUCAAUCCAACUAAACAAACACACACGGUUAUAAUUCAAAUUUUGAAAAUAUAUAAAUAAUGUUGGUAAUUUUUAUAGCUAAAUAUAUACAAUGUACUCACAUGAAUUGCUCGAGUCUCCUCGCCGUUUUCAAGGGUUUACCCUCCUUUCAUUCAUGAUAUAUUUCGGCAAUUCAAAAAAUUUUAAGUGAAAGAAUAGUAUAUGACUAAAGUAGAGUACCAGAUUUGAGGAAAAAUAUAACAGUACUAGUAUUGUAGAUAAUGUUGUGAACAGUAAAAAAAAUAUCAUGCAACGGUAAAAAAAUGUUGUGAUACAGUAAAGAAUUACAUAUUCAGAAUAUUAAAAUUUUGUUUUCAAUGCUAUCAUUUUGAUAUUGAACACUUUAAUCAAAAUGUACAUGACUUGUUUAUUAGUGAAAGAUUUAGAUAUUCAAAAAAGAUAAAUUGGACAUAACAUUUAAUGGAAUCAGUCAAACUAUCGUAUAAAAAAAUUGAAUAAAUAAAGAUCGAACUUUGAAAAUGAGACUAAUUUAAGUGAAAAAAUUGAAAAAAAAGUUAAUAUAUAAAAAACGAUUUUAGCAUUGAGUUUAACAUAACCAAUUAAAUUAGUUAACGUAAACCGAUUGAUCGACGUUAUAAAAAUUAUGUUCGAUCCCUUACUUUAAAUUUUACGCUCCUUGGAACUUGGGAAAGUAUGAUGUCCCAGAGUUCCAUCAUAAACACUGAUUUAACAAGUGCCGAAUCAUUGUGUUUACACAUACGAGCUCUAAUUUUUACGGAUUUAUCCUCUUUGUUGAUAACACGAAAUCUAUCGGCGGAACUCAUAAUCAAAUGAGCGCCAAUAGAAAAUCUUGCAACUCGUAAUACUAUCUCAUCACCUUCGACUACUUCGAUUAGUCAUGUUAUUCGUUUUCUUUUUGUGUUGCUAUUGAUAAAGGCGAAUUCAGGAUUUGAUAAAUGUGGAUGCUUAAUUAAUAUUAAAUUAUUUUUUUUGAAAGCUGAUCAAGUGUCAAGUAUAAAUCAUGCAUAUCAAAUCUAUCACUAAAUACUACUAAAUUCUUUUCAAGGUGCUUAUUUAUAUAAAAUUUAAAUUUUAGUUAUAAGUUUUUAAUUUGUUUUAUCACAAAGGUGCUCGAGCCCUCUACUAGAUCUGCUUUUCCGAUUGGUCUCUUCUAAUUCAUUAAUUAUUUAUAUUUUCUCCUUUUCCAAGUUUGUUAAAGGACCGGAAGAAGUGGCUGUGAAAUGUGAAACGAUUUGUUCACCAUUUGUGGGGUAGGCAUGUAGCUGAAUUUUAUGAGUAAAAAUAUAGAAUAUGCACCAAAAUUUUCGCUCAUGUCAAUCAUUAAUCUUACUUAAAUUUCAUUUAUUCAAAAUAUCGAAAAUACAAAAUUCGUUGGAACAAAGUUUUUCAUUUAUAAAAAUAUACCAAAAGAGUAAGUAAGGAUUCCUAGACAUUUAGACGAUAAGAUCUUUAAUGUCUAAAAAUAUAACUCAGCUACCGGCCCUUAUUAAAAGUCGGCAGAAAAAAUUUCAAGAGAACAAAAAUGUCUUAAAAAAACAAAAGUAUAUAUAUUAAAAAGAGAUUACAUGUAAAAGCUAGUACCUUCCUAUAGUUACAAGAAGGUUGGGAGCAGGUUCCUAUUGGCGUGUGGUCGAAUUUAAGUAGGAGUUCGUAUUUUGGGGAAUCCGAACACCAUUUGCAUGUUGUUGAGGCUUGUCAUUAUGACACUUCAUUAGGGUUAAAAAUGGGGCGAGUUCGGGCGGGGACUUCAUUUCUCAGCCCCACCCCAUAUAUAUUUUUCCUACCCCGUCCCCGCCCAAUUCCCCGCGGGGAUAUAUUUUUAAUCCACAUCCCCGCCCCGCUGGGGAUUUAAUAUAAUUCCGCCCCGCCCCGCUUCUAUAUGUAAUAUUAUAUUUUAAAUAAUUACUUACAAAUUUAGUAAUUUUUUCUUCAGAAUUUAAUAAAAAUAUACAAUGUAUGUAUAUUAAAAGCAAAAAACUAAGAUAAUGCAUGCAUGUUAAAUUAGAAUAACAAUAUAGUCAUGCAAUCUUUUUUUAAUAAUCACUUUGAAUAUAAAAAAUCAAAAAGACACGUUAUACAUAAUUGUAGUACAAGUUGAUGUAUUGUCUGCCAACUGCAAAGUGAUAGUUUUGUGUAUUAUAAAAUAAUAAUAUUAAAUAUUAUUAUUUAUUUAUAUUACAUAUAUGCGGGGGGAGGAGAAUCCCCGCAGGGAUUCAACAUAUACCAUACUCGCCCCAGAAUUUCGCGGGGCGGAAAAUUAUUUCCCGUCACUACCCUAUUUUCCAUAUUAACGGGCGGAUCUGCCCCAUUCGGGGCGGAUUGGGGCGGUUUCCCAUUUCCCCACCCCAUUUUUAACCAUACACUUCACUCAGCGUGUACGAGAUGAAGAAUGAUUACUCAUAGUGGUGUGUCAAGUACCAAACCGAUCUUGAUCCAGUCUCCAAAGAUUUUUCCAGAGAUAAAAGAGAAAGAUAUCUUCGACGACGAAAAUGAUCCUGAUCAUGCAGUUAAUGUGCCCUCACUUAUUAGAAGGGGAAAUUUCUAUGAGGAUUCAUUCGUGGUACUGGAAAUACCUGGUAAAGCUAUACGUUACAAUCUCGUGGAUAGAAGAGCUUCCAGUUGAUACGGGAUUUUGGUGUAGAAUUGCACUUCGAUCCAAUAAUAAAUGACUAUGCGUUAUGUGAUUUUACGGUUUGUCAAUAGGGUUAAUUAUCAACUCAAUAAAAAAACAAAUUUUACUUCUCGAAAAGAUAUUAGAGGUAUUUAUUUAAUUUUUUUUUAUGACUUUAGUGUUUCAAAUGAGACCAAAAAUUUCGGAGUGAUUCAUUUGAUAUUUUCUAGUGUAAAAAUUGACCUAAUUGAUAAUUAACCCUUUGUGAAUACAUUACUCUGAUAUGAUCCUCGAGCUGUGAAAUCUUUCUGAUUUAAAAAAUAUUGUUCGGAGAUCUUUUUCGUAAUUGUUGAUUCUUUACUCUUUUUAUUCGUUUAUUGACUAACCAAAAUAUGGCAUAACAGAGAUAAUUUUUAGGACAAGCUAUCGUGAUUGUGUCAAAGUCUCUUGUCAUAAUGGAGUCCUAAACAGGAGUGCAUUUGAGAAAUAGACUUAAAAGCAAAAACAUCAAUCCUCGUCCAUAAGCAUAAUAACUGCAUAAGCAUGGAUGCGAGGCUUAAAAGCUGCACAUCUAAUAAAUCUAGGUCUCAACUCAAAUCCUUCAGGUCUCAUGAAGCCGUUCUUAACAAUGAGGAUUUGUUAACAUUGAUCCUGUUUCGUGUGCCUUGGACACAACUCAAGGUAUUGAAGUGUGUUUCAAGACAAUGGCAUUCACUCAUCACCACUUCGCUGCCUCCUCUCCGUGCCUCUGGUCUCUUCUGUAAAGGCCACUUAGGUUUUGAUAAACUCUAUUUCGUUCCUCUAGAUGAUCCAAACUUUGCUUCCCCACUCAGAGCUCGGACUUUUAAUCUUGAUCAUGAAAAAAUUCUGUUUUUGCACUCCUGCAAUGGCCUUUUAUUGUGCUCUGCUGGUUUCCCCGACUCUUACAAUCCACGUAACUGUAACUGGUAUGUGUACAAUCCUUCUACCAAUCAGUUAGCUGCGCUUCCUAAACAUCCUGACAAUGUGUAUUUCAUGGAUCAUAUUGGCUUGGCUUUUGAACCUUCGAAAUCACCUCACUACAAAGUCAUUGCUUUUAUUAUGACAACAAGAGGAAAUUUAUUUGGUGACUUUCAUAUUUACUCCUCUGAAACAGGGACUUGGAGGGUCUCUGUACAGUCCUUUUCCACGAGGGGAAUGCACUUCAAGCAUGGUGUCUAUUGGAAUGGGUCUAUACACUGGUUAAGUAGAUUAGAGUCCCCGUUACAUUCAAAAUCUUCUCUUUCUGAAUGUUUGUACUUUAAUGUGGAUCAAGGAAGGCUGGGAACCUUUCCAAGGCCUCCUAUUCACCUGAGGUCAAGGACAGAAAGGACAGUGUAUUUUGGAGAAUCAGAAGACCAUUUGCAUGUUACUGAGGUUCGUGUUGGUGACACUUCACUCAGUGUGUAUGAGAUGAAGAGUGAUUACUCCGAGUGGUUUGUCAAGUACCAAAUUGAUCUUGAUCCAAUUUUCAAAGUUUUCCCUCAGCGGCGGGCUAGAUCAUUUUACAAGGCUACUUCUGAUGAUAAAAUCGCUUAUGAAUUUAAUGUGCUCUCACUUAUCAGGAGAGAAAAUUUCCGGGAGGAUUCAUUCUUGGUUUUGGAAAUACAUGGUCAAGUUAUACGCUACAAUCUCAUCAAUAGAAGCUUUAAACUGGUACGGGACCUUGGUGUAUGCUUGAGAGCAACUGUUAGUUAUUGGCCCUUUACAACUAUUCAUGUUUGGCCGUACAUUGAAUUUCUAUAGUCCGUGUAGUUUAGCAGUAACAACUAUAUGCAGAAGAACAUUAGUGUACUAUUUUUAGAUGCAUUAGUCAUAUCUCUAGAAGCGCCAUGUCUUUUUACUUCAGUUUGGUCUGUGUUUGCAAUGCCAUUUGUUGACAGUUCAGUUAAGUCCAAAUAACUUGUUAGUUUUUUCUUCUGUCACAUCCCUAAAUUUAAAUGCACAUAAACGCAAGUAGCUGACGACAAGAGGGUAUUUAUGUAUAAUAAAUUAUCAUAAUUAUAGUUUCUCAUUAGCAUGUCUCCCAGGAAAUUCGAAACCACCAAAAAAAAGGGAAGAAAAAACUGCAAGCAUAAUAUAAUUACAUACACUUGUAUAUGAUUCUUGAUUCUUGCCAAAGGAAAUAGAGUAGUUGUAUAGUUAGAGACUAAUGAGGUUUGGGAACUCUGUUUUAUUACCAUGAGCAUGAAUGUCAAUCAAAGGUAUCAAUGCCUUCAAGUGUUCUUCUCUCGACUUGGCUACUUCUUCUCCCAUCACAAAAAAUUUUGAAUGAUCUUCAUCGAAGGCCUCCCAUUGCUCUGUCACUCUCGUCUGCAAGCUAUGCCUGCCCGACUCAUUUUGCUCGUCUAUUUUGGACUCCAGUGUCACCAUAGUUAAUGAUCCUUCUGCUGUAUCAUUGUUUUGUUCAUUACCUCUAUCCGUAGCUUCGCUGAUAAUAUGCUCCAGCAUCCUUAUAUCUUCUUCUGCAAUGUGUUUCACUCCCGGGAAGUUUGCAGCAUUAUUAACACCUAAUUCUCUGCAAAAUUCAAUGUACAUACAGAGUUCUUUCCCCUGCACGUUUGCUUUAUGCAGAAUUUUGAGUCCCAUUGAUGCUUCCACCUUCCCAGCCGAACAAAUUUGGAACAAAACUGCAGAGAUACCACUGCAUAUUCUACUAUAAACAUCAAAAAUCUCAAUGAUCACGCAAUCCAUAGCUUCAAGAAUCAAAUUCUCCACCAUGGUCUCCGAUCUUGGUUUGAUUUCCAUCAACAUAUCAAGCAAAACCUGCAUUUCUUGAAGCCACUUAAGGCACUGCAUCAUCGAUGUUGAUGUUUUUUGUUCAUCCUGAUCUGCCGCAACUUUCCUGAGCUGUCCUUUAUAUUGCUCCUGUGAAUGUGCAUACAAGAAUGAAGAUUUACAAUCAAGAAAGCAAUAAUAAGCCUGUACAAAAGUAUCAUGAUCCCGCUUCUCCCCGUGCUUAAAAUGCCGAUCCUUGAAGCUAGACAAAUCAAAUGGUAACCUCCCAAUCAUCUGGACCGCAGGGACUCUACAAGAGAAAACCCCGUGCAUUAGCAUCAAGCCCUUGAGAGCAACUACCCAGCUAUGAGUCUUCUGAAUUCUCACAGCAAUGGCUAAUACCAGAGGCUUGAGGUAUGCAGGUGAGACCCGAACCCAUGCAAAGACUCUCUGAGCAUUCCGGUAAUCAACCCGGGAGUCAUUGUGGCUCGUGGAUUUAAUGACCGCGACAUCGAUGUCAGGGUUCCUCUGUGAUGUUCUCUUUGAGAAAGAUGUUAACCAGAUACUGGUCUGAUCUUUCAGCACUCCAGAAGCUCUUUUCCAGAGGUUCAUAGUCUGUCUUGUAGAGAAGAUCAGAGCUGAUGUUUGUGUAUGUUUGUUCCUUUACUAGUUCAACCAAAAAUCAAUUGGCUUACAAGUCACUCAUAUUUGUAAAUUUGGGCCACAGCCAACUACCAAGCCGGCCAGGGGUGUUUUUGCAUUUAGUCAAUGUUGAGUUUGAUAUGUGUUGCUGUCCUCGAUAUUUUCCAGGUUAUAUGAUAUUAAAAUAAAUGCAUGCCUAUGAUACCUUUUUCAAGAAAAUCUGUUUAAACGUGUUAUUCCAUUGAGAAAUGACCUGGGUUCUUAAGAGAAAAGGCUCCGUGUAUCAAUUUUUUUCAAGUGAUGUCCAAAAUAUUAUAAUUGUGGAAAGUGGUCUGAAAUAUUAUUUAUUAAACGUCAGAUAAUCCAGGUUUUGUUUUUUUAGAGAAAAACACUAUAUCUUGUUGCGUUUAAGUCCAAAAAUUACUGUAAUAACAUAACACCAUUUAGUGUUUUACUAGAAAUAGGCAUGAAAUAGAGUUUAAAACUUCAAAACGCUACAAAAUCCACCAUUCUGGAUUGCAAACUGAAAUUUAGGGUCAUUUUUUCUAUAGUGAUAGUUAGGACAUUAUUGCUAAAAAAGGUGAUAGAUUGGACAAUACCGUGUUCUUGAUGGUCAAACCUUUCACAUACUGGGCGUUUUGAUUUCCACACUUUACAGCAACAAAAAAAAUAAAAAAAAAUCACCUGAGUAGAGACUAAACCAGGCAGUCAGCAUGUGAGGACUUCUUAUUUAUCCAUAUGGCUCCUCUUGUAACUGGAUUAACAAAAGAUUCUCAUUGUGUCCAUACAAAUACAUGAAGACAAUGUAGAAACCCUUAAAAACUGUCAGCAAUAAGCCAAUAACUCAGUAAGGACGCGUAUGAAAGAAUAAGUUCCAUUUCCCAUAUGAAAGAAUAAGCAACUGUAUAUUACACUCUGCGGCAAGCUGGUCCCAAAGACCUCUCUUCAGGUUUCACAUUUCCAGCUUUAAACCAAUUAUGGUAAUUUUCAAAUUUAUAUAACGAGGAAUUGAGGGCCAAAAAAUUAUAGGGCACAGCUCGCGACCAACAAAAGAGAAUCAAUACAAAGCAUCAAUGCAUCAUCCGUAUACACAACCUCCCCCUCUCCUAAAGAUCUGAGGGUUUCUAAUCCAUCACUAUACCACUAAAAUUGGUAUUUGACCGUAUUCAUAUUGAACGUAAACAACAUGGUACUAGAAAAGGAUAAGCACCAACCGGACCAAAACCAGAUAGAUAGUUCAAACCACAGAAAAGAAUGUAGGACCUUCCAAGUUCCUGCAUCCCUCUCAUAUUUAGAAAUAAGACACAUGAAGACCCCAGUUCUCAUCCGUAAAAGGUACAUGUUGACACUUAUACCCAAUGACACUUCCCCAGUCUCCUGGGACUGGAACCAUGACAAAGCUUCACCCAAGCUUGACAGGAAUUUCUUUACCACACCAAAUCUGUAUAAAUGUGAAGUCGAUCAAAAAAGAAGAGAAACUCUGUAUAUUGAGUAACAUAAUCCUUUCUGUUAUCUUCAUUUAAGGAGGUACAGUUCCUUGUGCUUUCUCCAACUUUUCUUUCUCUAUCUCAACUCUUCUCUGCUCAGCAUGCUGAAAAACAGCAUUGGCUAGUGCUUGAUAAUGGAUGUCAAGAGCUUGUGUAAGACUCUGGAACCUCACUUCAUUAGAAGCUUGCAAAACUAGAAGCAAGGAGUUGGAACGAGAAUAUAAUAAUGUAAGUUCCAUGAUCACAUACAACUAAACAAUGCAAGUACAAUAUUCAAGUUAUUAAGUUUUAAAAUGCCAAUGUCGGAUGAAGUAUAUACCUUUUGUAGAGUCAACAAAGAACACAAAAGGGUCGACUUCAUCUAUUGGUGAGUGUAGAUCCUCAUCAUCACUGAAGUCAUCAUCUGUAUCAUCAUCUUCAUCAUUUGAACGGAAAGCCCUUGCCUGCAUCUCAUAUGUUAGCUUAUAAACAAAUAAUGCUUACAUUUCUUAAACAACUGACUUUGGUUCUGCGUCCGAAUUUGUUAUCAAUGGGUCAUAUCUCAAUAUUUAUAAAGGUAUGAGCUCAAAGACACAUCUACAGUUCAAAGUAUUUGGAGUUUUUUUUUUUUUUUUGGCUACAUACAAUUGAAUAUAAGAUACGAAACAAAGAACAAAUAACAAGUCUAGCCAUCAGGAACUGUGUUGAGAAUAUUUCAAAGUUAUUUGAAUAUUUUAUUAGCUGCAACUUCUUAGAAAUAGCUAGAUGAUGCACUUGCUGAAUUUUAGGAGUUCUAAUUCUUUUUUUUUUUAUGUAUAAAGCAAAGGUUUGGUUUCUUGGAAUAUACGUAGUCAUCAUCUAUAUAUUAUUUCUCCAACUGCUUUCUUAAGUUUUUCUCUUGUUUUCAAACCCUCAACACCAAUAAGCUGAUGAAAAAAUAUGAAGAUAAUUCUUAAUUUUUGAGCAACUGAUAACUUUAUUUUCCAAAUAAAAGAUAUAUAAAUAUCAUGUUUUUUAGUGUACACGAAGUAUAUGGAAGAGGACAACACAAUAAUAUUGCAGUUGCUUUUAUCAUGUUGAUUGUAACACACCUGUGCUGCCAAUCUUUGAAGAGUUUUGUUAUUAGCUUCAUCUCCAUCCUCAGCAUCUACUCCCAUUUCUUUGUCAGAAUCAUCCACAUCAUCUUCCUCAUCAGACAGCAAACCAUUCAUAUCAUCAUCAUCCUCGGUCUCUAAUUCCUUUGCAGCUUCUAUGCACAUCAAGUAAGAACAGAAUAUAGUGUGGAAUAAUUGAAACUUGAUCAUUCCGUAGGAAGUUGCAUAUACGUUCACUCUAAAGUGAAAUAAAGCUGAGAAAGGAAGAAAGAAAGUAUUUAUGGACAUACCCGCUACUUGAUCUUCGUAGGCAACAAGUAGAUCAAGGGUGGCCUUGAAAACACGCAGCAUUGCCUCCGCUGGUAACUGUUCGGCAGGAAGUUGGAGCAGUGCUGUUAAGCCCAAGCAGCAAACCUUUUUAUCAUGUUCUCUGAAAUAUGCAUAUCAUACAUGUCAUAUGAAACAAUCUAAUGAAAGAGGUAACAAAAAAAGGAACUAUCGAAGUGUUCAAAGGUAAACCAUGGGAGAUACUUAAGUACCUCUUAAAAUUAGAUCGCACUCCACUCUUUUUAGUCUGUUGCAACAUCUGGAACCAAUGAUUAAAUAUUUCUGUAGCAACCCCAAGUUUUUGCAGUAUGUUGAGUGUUAAAGGUGCAUUGUAGUAAAGGGCAUUGGCAAUCUGCAACAGAGCAGGUGCUAUCGAUCAACAUAUGUUCUGUUACACACAAGAAUUGUGUCUAAUGUAUAACAAUUUUAUGUCAUGUGUAGGCAAAUACUCCGUAUGAGCUAUCACAGAGGCAUAGUUAUUGUCAAGCAAGGUACCUAAAAAGAUGCUUUAAUAUCAAACAAUGUUUGCAUGCAUGUUCAGACACCACACUACAGAUGACAUGGUAAAGAAAUGCACAAAUAUCUUCACACUAGAAAAAACAAGAGAAGCAUAAAGUUUUUCUAUCAUGCUGAAGUAGUUACAGGCCUAAUCUGGUUUUGCAUAGGAUUGAAAAAAAUUGCGAGUUCCUUACCACUUGCAUCAAAAGACAUUUCAAAUAUGCUCUCUCAGUUCGACGCAACCGCUCAACUGUGAUUCUAAUAUAAGGUUCAACCCAAUGAUCCACCUGCCCCCUGCAGUUUUGGAACACCACUUCAAUAAGCUUAGGUGCCGGCUCAAUAUCACUGUCCUCCAUAUUCUGAUCACCCAUGAUCUGCACGAUAACAAGAUAUUAAUAUUACAAAAACAAUCACUAAGAAGAAAAUUUACAAAAUUAAUAUUCGUAGCAAUAGUCAACUCACGGUAGAAAUCAAAUUCCAAAGACUUUGCUGGUAAUCUGGCUCCUUGCAUGUAAGGUAAUGCAUUGUACCCCUCGAUAUAAAGUUGUCUAGAGGAACAAGAAUAUCUACACAAAUAAAAUUUAUAAAAACACAGCAUUAGAAAGUGUACAUUGUGGAUUAGCUGAUGGAAAGAAAAAUGUAUGCUGUGGGCGUACUGUAAAUUACAACAUAUUGAGUUGCAUUCACAAGUCAUAUGUUCAUCUUCGUUAUCCUGAACGAUGGGAAACCAUAAAUUCCUGUCCAAAUGUACAAUUCUAAUUUUUUUUGAUAAUUACAUAUAUAUUCUAACUCUUAAAUAUGUAUUUAUCUGGAAUAGGAAUUAAGAUUCUCAUCCCAUCAGACCACUUUAAACUGAAAAUUUGAAAAAGUAUCACAUCUGUAGAUAGUUCAAGUAUAGUCCUGACAAUAUAAUUAUUAAUAAUUAAUGAACUUGCAAAUGAAGAUUAGCUACAUUUGUACAUUGAAUUUGUGAACCAUGCAUUUAUUUCUUAGAAUAGCUUCUCUGAUAAAAAAUUCAAACAUAUUUCUCAGCUAAGUGCAUAAAGAGGUAUGUGGGAGGCUAAAGAGUACCCUAUUAAUCGUAGACCGAAGACCGAAUUAAGAUGACUCAUUAUGGCCGGACUCCCUCUUAUAGUAGCUAUAUAAAGAUGUAUAAUAUUGAUGACAAAAAAAACUACCAAGUUCAAAGAUAUAUAGAUUCAAUUGGUCAAGAAGCGCGUGGCAACACAAACAGAUUUGAACCUCUCGUAAUCCUAAGUGAUUAAAAGGCACAAGUCUAGUAUAUAGUUUUAAUAUGUUAGCGAGAUUGCUCUGUAAAAUAUGAAUAUAAUAGUUAUCACAUUUGAUUUUCUCCUACAGUCUAACCCUAAUCUACCAUGCACCCCUAAGAAAUCAUGUCCCUCUAGUAAGAUCUCUAUUUAAGUUCCAACAUCUGCUAGAACCUGAAUUCAACCUGAGGCCGUAAAUGUUAAUGCAACUCGUGAAUUAAAGAACAAAAUAGCAAUUCCUAAUCAAAGAGAUCCAAGAGAGUCUACCAAGAACCACUAAUUACAUUUUGAGGAAGAAAAACAUAAAAUCCCUAAAAAAGGCAUAGAAAGGGAGGAUAGGCACUUUCAUAUACUUACUUGAAAAAAAAUCAAUAGCCCAGUCAGAUAGAGCGUCGGUCAGCAAUGGCCAGAGGGUCCACAUGUCCAUAGAUAUAGUUGGCGAGUAGAAAGUCAUAUAUGAUACAAUUUCAAGAACUUCCUCAAAGACCUCUGCACAUACGUGUUGAUUACGUGAGUAUUCAUGAAUUUCAUUUUGUCCACUUGUGCAAGGAAGUUGAUAUUUAACCAAAGAAACAAAAUAAACGAAACAGAUGUUAAAAUCAGACAUUUAGCAGACUGCUGAAAUGUAACUAUUGCUCAAGAAAAUAGUAGCUUCAGAAAGAAGCAUUAAAUUUUAAAAUUAUUUUAGGCAAUAAUACUUCUAGACAAGUUUAUUUUAUAGGGGCAUGCCCUGUAUACUAUCUUGUUACGUGUUCUAUUACAAAAUAAUGUACAUAUUAUAUAUAUAUAUAUAUAUGAGGAAAGUUCUAUGGAGACCGCUAUUUUAUUGGAGACCUCGGAGACCACGUAUGUUCUGCAAUCAAAACACUGUAAAAUACAUUAUUUUGUAAAAUAUGUUUUACAAAAAUCAUUUAUUCAUUAAAAUUGUUGAAGAUCAUCAAUGUUUAAUAAGUAGAUAAUGUAUGUUCUGCAAGUUAAACAAAUGUUCUGCAAAUUAAACAUAUUUCAUAGAACAAAACAUUUUGUAAUGUUCUACAUGUAAAACUUAUAUGAUAUUCAAGAUUUUAAAUGUAAUAAUGAUUUUGGAGAACAUGAUUUGUAAAAUUAUACGUUUUGCGAUGUUUUUAUGAAAUAUUUUACUUGCAGAACAUAUGUGGUCUCCAAGUCUCCAGAAAAAAUGUGGUCUCCAUUGAACUUAACUCUAUAUAUAUAUAGGGCAUUGCUCAUAAAAGAACACUCUUAAAAGAAGAACAACACAGAACACUUUAGAAUCAAAUAUAGAAUCUCAUCUAAAACUUAAUUCUUUUUUCAAAUUUUAGGUUGAUUAACUUUUUAUUAUAAAUAAUAAUAGAAUCCGUCAUGCUUAACAAUAAAUUUGGGUUAAAAAUACCAUGAUUCUAUGUAAAAUUAUUCGUGCAAAAAAUUAUAUAUAUGAUUCUAUUCUAGAUUCUAUUUUGGAUUGUGUUCUAGAUAUAUGUCAUAGUAAUAAUGUGGAUGAAUUUGGAUUUUAGAUUUCAUAUAUUAUGUUUGAUUGGUGUUUAACUAUAUAAUUAUAACCUUAACAAAUCAUUCUUUGUGAAAAAUAAAGUGUUAUGAUAGUGUUCUGUGUUGUUCUUUUUUAUCCUUCAAAAUCAGAUAAAAUAGAAUCUAAUAGUUUCAAUAUUUUUUUUGUUCUACAAUAUUUUUAAACAAUCUGCAACUUGAAGAUAUGUUCUAUAACCUAAUCAACAAAUAUAACAAUUACUUUUACAAAAAGCAGGAUACUAUUUUCAACAAUAUAAAUAUAACUAAUGAGCAGAAUAAUAAAUUUAAUGAUUACUAAAGUUCAAGGAUGUAAUGAUUAAUUGGAUUUUCUAGUGUACGCCCAUGACAACCACUUUCUAGUUAGGUGGUGGAUUUCUAUUGGCUCCAAUUUCAUUAAUAAUGAUGGCCCCUCUGUGUGCACAAAAUCUUCACCGAUCAAAAUUUUCCACCUAACUAAAAAGUAGUUACCACACACUAGAAAGACCUAUGAUUAAUUGAUACCGAUGUUUAAGAUUACUUAUAAAUGAUCAAUUAUAUAUAAACUUCGGUAAUCAAGGGUGAUAUUUAUAAUUAAAUUAAAAAAUUUAUGACUGGUACACUAAAAACUCCAACUUAAAUGCUGACUCCAUAGAACCACUCUCUAUGUCUCUCUCACUCUCCCUAUAUAUAAGAUCUUACUCCAAUACAAACUUCCUUAAAAUACAAAUUACGAACGGGAUAAUCGAACUAAUUACAGAGAAAAUUAAGUGUGAUCUUGUGUGAGAGGGUUAAUUUUAAUUGUGUGUGACUGUGUGGUAUAAAAGAAAAUUUAUAUGAAGUCAAUAAAUAAGGUGGACUUUCAGAGUCCUAUCCUUCUAAAUUGGAUAAAAUAUUAUCUAAUGAUUUCAAUUUUAAUUAUUUUUUGUUCUACAGUAUUUUUAAACAUUCGACAACAUAUCAAUAUGUUCUACAAUGUAAUCAACAAGUAUAACGAUUACUUAUAAAUGAUAAAUCAUACAUAAAUUUUGGUAAUCAAAGAUAUUAGUUAUGAUUAAAUAAAAAAAUCAUGACUAGUACUCCAAAACUCCAGCUUAUAUGUGGACUCCAUGGAACCAAUAUACAUACAUACAUAUACAUACAUAUAUAAACUCAUUGGGUGAGACUCAAAUGAGAAUUAGUUCCCCAGAGAACUAGUAGGUUUCAUACCUCACAUUUACGUGUCUAAUAAAUAUUUUUAAUCUAUAUUUUUAUUCAAUUACAUAAGCCGUUCUCAUAAUUACCUUUUUGUUUGCAUAACAUAUCAAAACUUGAUUAAUACUGUCAUGAAAUUCAUAGAACAUGAAUCAACAAUAUUUUUUUUUUAAUUCUACAAUCUAUGAACAAAGAUAUUGCAGGCACAUAGUUUAUGCCCUGUGUGGUCGCGCACCCCGUGCUACCCAGCCCCGCCACUGUUAAUGUGUGCAUAUUAAUACAGGUCACCAACUACAUUUGCUUCAAGUAAGAUGAAAUGGUUUGUUAGUGCAGCUGACUUGGAACAUAAAGGGCCAGUAAACAUAUCCAAAACAUACCAGAAAACCUUGCAGAUUUACUAUAGAAGACAAAGUAAUACUUGUAGGAGAUUUUUGAAUAUGAAACUAGAGACUAAAGCAGUACCUUGUCCAUCAGUAGUCAGCAUCCUCCGCAUGAUUGGAAGUAAUGUUGGUUCAAUCUGAACAAACAGCUGAGGAAGCCUGCUCACGGACUCAAGGAUUGUGCUUAUGGCCCGCAAGCAUCCAACUGCUGCCAAAGCACCUGGAUCAUCAGCUUCAUCAUCAGCCUCAGCAGUGUGCAUACACUUCCAAAAUGCAGCAGCCUAGUAAAAAAUAAAGUUAAUAUCUUCAGAGGACAAGUUAUAUCACUAAGCAGUAAAAUAAAAGACAAGAUAUUUGAGUCACCAGAUUCUGACACAGUCCAAGAGCAUAGGGUGCCAUCUCCUCCCCAAAUUUGUCCACGAUAGUCUCCAGCGUAAACACAAGAUCCUCAUUUUCAACCUCAUUCAUAAGUUUGAAAAAUUCUGAAAGUUAUUGUAUGACAAAGUUAGAAGUAUCCAUUAGAAGUGCAUUUAGUUGUUUUAAGUUUUAUAUACCGUCUAGUAACUGUGGAAGAAUCGGUCGGAUUUCAUCCAAAUCUGCAAAAUCGAAUUGGAAGUAUUAAACAACAAAAUAUUUUAGGGGAGACAAAGAUGAGAGAAAAACAUGUACUUUACCCUUGCAGGCUUCAACAAAUGAACGUAAAGCAAAAACAGAGUCAACACGAACUGGAAGCUCUGGGUCUCGCAUCCCAGCCACAACACUUUGCAAUGCUCUACGAAAAAUGUUUGUGUCUGAGAAUUUGAUAUGUGCAUAUUGUCCAGCAACCCAGGCUGCCUGAUUUAGAUCAUAUGACAAAUUGACGAUGAUAAGAAACUGAUGGUCAAGACCCUUGCACACGUCUAUUACAAUUUUGGUGAGCAUGAUUUUUUUCAGAUCCAUGCAAUCCAGUUCAAGCACGUGAGAACCAAUAUUAAUGUCCUGCCGUCUAACUUUCAUUAAUUUUGUAUUAUGACAUCAACAAAUUUUGCAGGGCAAAGUAACUCGCCCAUAAAAACUACAGAAUAAAAAUUCUCUAAUAUUUAAAGCAAUACGUUAUAACUGAAUUCUUGAAUAUCAAACUGUACACAUCACACUAUUUUCAAUCAACUAACUACAUAUUUAUAUAUCUGGCAAUACAUAAUAUGUAAUACAAAUCAUGAACACCAUAAUUUCAGAAUUUUAUACCCAGCUACCAGAGGUGUUGAUAUAUUAUAAAGAUCAAAGGAAGACAUACUUUCUUUCUUAAAUGGAAGGGAAAACAAGACACAAAUGUAAGAUAUAGUUGCAAGCAAACUUCCAAAAUACAACAGACAGAUUGAAAACAAUGUAAGAAACAUGACAGAUUACUCAUUAAUAGCCAAAAAAACAAAUGCAAGUAAAAACCUUGGCUCUAAGAUGGCCCACAGGACUGUUGAAUUCAGGGAAAACAUGUUGCAAUAACAUGCGUUCAAGCUCAGACUUGUAAGGUUCUGUUUGCUUCAGUUUAUCACACAGCGCUCCAAUUGCAAGCAGAGCACCAUCUUUCUGUCUGUAGGGCUUAUUUUCUAUUGCUGCCUCAUCAUAUCUGUAUACUAAUAUAUGUUAACAGUGGUGAAUUUUUAUUAAAUUCUAUUUGCUACGUAUGCAACCACAACUACCUUCUAAAAAUUUCCACAAUGUACAGUACAAACUUCUGAAGGUUCUCUUUCCCGCGCUUUCUUACCAACUCACUUACGAAAUCCAUAGCAGCAGUUCUUGGGCUGUAUAAAUCCUCUAUGAUGUCUGCACAGCAAGAAAGAAGAUGAAGUAAAACAAUCCAGGAUAAAAACAAGCAACUUAUGCAUUAAUUCAUACUAUUAUAGAGUAGGGUAAUUUAAACCUAGAGAAACGGUCUAAAUCCUACUACCAUUGGAGUAAAUAACAAUUUAUGUGUAAUAUCAUCAGAAAUAUGAGAGAUCCAAAUAACUUACCGUAACCCUUCCUCACAUAUUCAUGUGGGUCUUCAUCCCAAAGUUUUUGGUCAUCGUCAUUAAAGCACAUAAGUGGAAAGAUUAUCUCAAAAAGUAGAGAAUCCAUUCUUGGUUGAAGCAGAUUGUACAUGUUGGUCUUGGAAACACUGGAUCAGUAUAACAAGCAUAUAUAAGAACCAUAAAAGGAUAGGGGAAACAGGCCAAAAGUCAACAAGUAACAAAUAUUACCAGAACAGAUUUUUAACUUUCUGGAAAAUCAGUCAAUUUCAUCAACCAACCACAAAUUCAUCAACCAACCACAAUUUCAAACCAACCACAACAUUCUGAUUAGAAUAUUACUGUCAUCUAUGCACUAUAUUAUUUGCAGUACAAAUUUAUAAACUAGUCAUCUAUGCACUAUAUUAUUUGCAGUACAAGUUUAUAAACUAGUACCCAGGAACUUUCAUGAGCCCGUAAACCAAGUAUUGCAUAAACCAAUCCCAAAGUAGGAUAUGGCGAUAUAUAUAAUUGACAAUUGGUUCAUUUUCUGUCAGGAAGAAUACAGAUUCCGAACAUAUAAAAGAUCAUGAAAAUAUGCAUGCUUGAAUAUAUCAAAUGCUUAACACAUAAGGACAAAAAAAUGAAACAUGACUCCUUUUACAUAUGCACCAUAAUCUUUGCGGUACAAAUUUAUAAACUGGGACCUAGUAGAUUCCACUUGAGCACUUGAACUAAGUAUUAUACCUGAUAUUCCUAUAGGAAACGAAGAUAGAUAUAAACUGACAAUAGGUUACUUUUCAGUCAGGAAUAAACCGAAAGAAUACAGAUUUAGAACACAUAAAAGAAGAUUAAAAUAGACAUGCUUAAAUAAAUGAAAUUUUCAGCACAUAGAACAGAAGAUAACAGUUUUUCAGUGCACAGCCUAUCAUAAUCCAGUAAUAAGUAUAUAAUUGAAAUAAAACUUUACUAAAUCAAAGAUCACAUCUAAAGAUUCCAUCAUAUUUAUAAAGCUUUAGCAUAAAAUAUUAUGAAGUCGUCACUACAUGUCAACAACACUACAAACACCUCCGUUAUCCCAAAAAUAAUGAUGACUACAUGAAUAGUAGCUGUAAGACAAUUCUUUAGCUAAUACAUUAAGUUUUAGAAAGACUUGAGACUAACAAAACCAUGUAGACAACCUGUUGGUUAAAUAUUGCAAGAUAAGAUUGGUAACUCUGUCUGGCAGAUAACCACCAACCCUGAUCACAUUCAACAAAUUUAAAUGACAUUCCAAAAUCUUUCCAGCAAAACCCUUCUGGAACAUUUGGGCAAAAGCUCUAUUUUCUGGGUUUUGAAGUUUCAGAUCACCGAACCUGUGAAAAAUAAAAUUUGAUAAAAUCAGAUACAUGUUUAGGGAAUUAAAUACAUGUUUCAUAAGCAUAGAAGAUGAUUGAAAAUAAUCUGAAUAAGGCAAUUACCGAGUGUAUAGGCGGUUUAAUAUGUGAACUGUCCACUUUUUAACCUUCCACCAACCCCAUGAUUUCCUGAGCUCUGGAUCAGCUGGUUGUCCUUCAAGAGGUAUAGGUCUCUCCAAUAUGUUUAGGAAAAGAACCAUCCAAGCAUUGAACACAUUCGGAUCAAAUAACUGCUUUGGAAUCUCCAACUGACAUAAUUUUGAUACCAAGCUUUAGAAUUAAAAAGAUUCAAGGACUCCCAAGCCAAAAACCCAGAAACUCGUCCUAGUAAUUAAAUCCAAGGAUAAUUAAGAAGUAAAAUGAAUCCUAAUGGACGGUAAAAACUAAAAAGAAGCUAAUAUUAGUAUUAUAAGUAGAUAUAUAAAGUUGCUUACAAAAGUACCUAACAAAAAAGUAUUAUCUGUCCAGGAAAAUGAUUCUAAUUGUACCAAAAAGAACACAAAAAAUGCAAACAUUUGACAACAAAUAAAGUUUCUAGUUCCUCCCUUUUUGGAUUUCUCCUAACAAAAAACAUCAUAGUUUCCAUGCUACUUGAUUAAGGGCAUAACUUCAAAACUAGAAAUAACAAAAAGCCUCCUGCGAGUUGUUGAAGUUGCAAGUUGCAACACAAUUACAUACAUAUAUAGAUGACCAGAAUAUCUUGCAGAUGAGCUUAAUCAAGUCAGCUACUUCUAUUGAAGCAUUGUCAAUUUGAACCAGCCUGUUAAAUAUACUCAACAAAUGAGGAAAUGUCUCCUGAACAAUGUGAUGAACUGGUGUCCGCUCCUCAUCUGACUUAAACCUACAUAUAACAUAUUACGAGAACACAGAUGUUAGAGAAUAAUGCAUAUGAGAGCUUCUAACCAUAUUCUUGAAAUACAUAAACAAUAAAGUAAUGAUGUUAUUUACAACACAACAUCCAUAUGCACCAAUCAACUCACUCAUAUUUCCUAGAAAGGAUUCUCAGCACAAACAAUGCUCCAUAAACUUGUUGAUCUUGUAAAUUAUGUUUCACCCAGUGUAAAAGACUUGGCCAUUGCUCUGGGUAAUCAGCAUGUAUAAUCGUCUUGAGACACUCCCCAAGCUGGGCCCUAUCAGAGAACAGGGAAAAUUAUAGUAGAUGCAUCUUUACAUAACCCAGGAAAAGCUUUAUCAUAAAAAUUAAAAUAAGAAAUGGAAUGAAGACAUCACUGGUAACUCAAACAACUCACCUCAACAAUGGGGACACCUGGACAAUAAACACAAGAAUAUUUUGGCGAACCAAAUCUUUAUCACUAGGUAGGAUCUUUGAUUGCUCAUCUAUGCAACACAACAUUGUAUAAUAAGCACCAUGGAUUAUAAAUUAAAGUCCAUGAACACCCAAAUUUCAGUUCUGGAAUUGGGCAGUACCAGGAUCAUGAGGCGACCAGUUUUUGGCGAUAAAGUUUUUGAAAUGUAUACUUGCAACUUGUCGUACUGCCGGGUCGCAAUUCCCAUCUACAAUGAUCUGCAACAUCCUCACCAAAUGCUGAGGUGUAUACUGAAUCUGCAAUUACAUAAUCAAACCCACAUUAAACAACCAAUACGCAAUCAAUUAUCAACUAUAUCAACAACCAAGAUGCAAUAAUGAUUCGACAAAAAUGGGAACAGCUCAGUUCCACAAUUGUAACCACUUCAACAACCACUAAUUACAUUCCUUAAGCAAACAAAAGCUAGCACAAGAAUUCAAUAUAAACAAUACCCUGAUCAUAUAUUGCAUCACUUACCAAUACCCUGAUCAUAUAUUGCAUCAAAUUUCAAUCUUGAUCAUACAGUUUUAAUUUUGACCAAUCAAGAAAAUACAUACAUAAACACAUAUAUAGUAAUAAAAAGGACCUGAUUAAGACUUUGUUCAGCAGCUUUACGUUGAUCAGGAUUUGGACUAAGUGCAGCUUGAAGAACCACUGCAAGACUGUGAAGAUCCAUUUUUUUAGACAAUUUAUAUUUACAACAGCCACAUACACAUAUAUAAGCAGGAAAAUUUUUAUAAUGGGUUUUGAGUUUGAAGAUGUAUAAUCAAGAAGAAGGGUGCAAUCUUCAAUCUCUCUACAGGGUAGAGAGAGAGAGAGAGAGAGUGGACAAGUAGAGUGUUGUGUAUGUAUGUGUAAGUGUAUGUGAAUGUCUUGUUUGUACUUUGAAUCAUUAGGGUUUUUGGUUGUUUAACCACAAAACGGCUGUCAAUUCAAAGAGGAUGGGAUGUGACUUUCACGCGCUACUUUUUAUCUUUCCUAUUUUAUCUUCUUUGUAUUUUAAUACUCCCUCCGUCUCAAUUUAUAGGUCCAUUUUGGAAAAAAAAUUUGUCCCAAAACACUUGUCCCUCUCUUCUUUCAAUACAAAUCUAUCUACAUAUUAAUUGUGAUUUUUUUGAAACUCAACAUUAUUUUAAUUUCUAAAUGCACUAAAUCCCUAUAUUUAUUGUGAUUUUUUUGAAACUCAACUAUAUUCUCACUUAUCAAUGCACUAAUUAAUGAUACAUGAGAUAAGAUUCUAUCUAACCAACUUUUUUCUUAAUAUGCGUGUUUAUUCCAAAAUGGACCUAUAAAUUAAGAUGGAUGGAGUAGUUUUGGUAUAAAAAAGUUGAAUUUAAACGUGAUAUAGCCGUAUAGGAUAAAGUAGUAAAUCGAUGAGAGGAAUAUUUCAUCGCACGGGUGUUUUGUUCGUUCCCAUUUGUGGAAGUUUUAGCCCGGGGCAGAGGGAAUAGAUUUUUUAACUAUAAUAUGCCUUCAAUUUAAUAAACACUUGAACAUAUUUUAAUCAAAACAAACCGAUAUACUUCUUAUCAAUAUUCGAUGAGGAUUUGUUGUAUAGGACACUGUAUGCGAAUUCUGGUUUCAUUUAAUAAAAUGGAAAGUUAUGAAUUUGCAGUCCUGAAAUCAUUUAACGGAAAAUUGCAGUAUUUUUUAUUUUUUUAGCUGACCCGUUGGUGAUACUUUGAGAAACAAAAAAAGAGAGUACAUUGAAUGAUAAAUUCUAUGUACUUUUUUUUUUUUAACGUAGGAUCCGCAGCCGCUACCCUUCGGGUGCGCACUAGGUAAACCCACGAGUUCACGCAAUAGCCUGCAAACUACGUGAACCAAGGUAAACCGCACCUAAGCGCGACAGGCUCUGACCCAGGAGGCAUAAUCACAUAAUGAUGUUUUAAUUCCAUAAGCCAGAAGGUUUAACGGCAGGUCUCGCCAUAAUGAUGCUUUAAUUUUUCUUUUUUUCUUUUUACAAUUCAUCUUUUUUAGGCAAAUUAUCUCUAACUAGAUGCAGAACCCAAGAUUUUAAAAACUAUACUGUCGUGACAUUCUUAAAUUAACUAUGAAGCAACCAUUAGUAUUUAUUCUGAAUCCACUAGAAUUUAUUCUGAAUCAGUUUUAAGAGAACUUUCAUCCUUGUGCAUUUAUUUGGUAAUUAUAAUUGAGGGUACAAGGAAGAAACACCAGAGUAAUUAGCUAAAAGAUAAACAAAAAAAAACUAAAGUAUACCAUUUCUGGUAACCGACAUAUAAUUAAGGGUGAAGCUACAAUUAAAUAAAUAUUAUAGCGGUUAGACCCAUAGGAAGCUUUAUACAGAAGGUGGAUAAUAAGGUUUGUCGAUUAAUUUACGUAAGCUAACAGUUCUCAUCGACCCACUAAACUAGUGUAAGUUGCACGUGUGGUAACUAAUCAAUGUGAUUUUUGCUGAAAUUCAUGAUAAAACAUCAUUACACAACAUAAUCAGUUUCGUACAGUAGUUUGUUUUUACUGUAAGAAAGAAAACUCGUGAAACGAAACAAACAUUAAUCGGAGAGGUGGAAACCAUCAAACCAUUUGUUUCAUACACAGAAUAAUCUGGUCUUCUUUCCUUGGCUGUCAAUUUCUCUGAUUUCGAUGCAAUUUUGUUAUGCUUCUGUUAUAAAAUGCCUUCACUCGUUCAAGCACUAAAGAGUUACAGCCAAAACAUGAGUGUCACAAUUUGCCAGCAAUAACGUAUACAUUCAAUGGGGAGAAGCUAGAUUUUACUUGUAUGUCCUAGAGAUUGUUACAACAUUGUUGCAUAUGCUAUGCGUACAUUUUCCAAUCUGACUGCAGUAUCAAGCAGUUCACACUUUGUCAAAAUUCUCUACUACAGUAUGUCUCCAUCCUUUCGGACCUGAAUUUCAAAAAUAGAGAACAAAAUGAAGAAAAAAGAGUGAAAACAGGAACAGAAUUAGCUGGUUUUCUGGGACAAAAAGGAGUAAUACUUCCAUAGGGUGAAAUUAAGCUUUUUCACAAUUUUUUUUUUUUUUUGCUGCAUCCAGUGACCCUUGGAAUACAGCAGCNUGCUGCAUCCAGUGACCCUUGGAAUACAGCAGCAAAGAAACAAAAGAUUAAACAACACAUAACAGAGAUAGUUACUUACCUUACAAUGUUCCUUGUAAGUUGGUCUCAUACCCCACAGAUUAGAAGUCUUGUAGGUAGCAAUUUCAUUCAUAAAGAGAUAUAAAAAGGGCUACGGUCAUGCCCAGGAUUAAAGAGGUUAACUGAAUUGCUGUACUUCUCAACGAUGAGCUGCCGUUAUUCAUUUCUGCAAGCACCCCAGCAACAGCAAUAUAGAUAAACCCUCCUGCCGUGAAUCCCUACCACCAGGAAAAAAAAAGUAAACAUUAAGGAAUAGUGUAUAUCAACGGUAACUUCAUAUGAAAGUUUAUGAUUUUCUAAAAACAAUCAUAGCCAGCAAUCUCUAAUGUAUGGGCAAGCAACAGUGGAUAUGCAUACCUCGAUUAAAGAUGACUGUCCAGGAUCUUGUCCCCACAUCAAUGCCUGUGAAAACCACAUUGACCACAAUGUAUCCAUUUAGCUGGUUAUCGUAUCGUUUUUCAUUUUUUACUAUGCCCACUCCCCCACGUUUACAGACUUUCUUCAAUGUUACCAUCAUAAAGACAAACAAGAAAUGCAAAAACAAAAGAUACUUCAACCCUUAACAGAUAAAACGUACUUACCAAUGCAGUUCCAGCCAGUGCGGCCAGAGCAGAAAGGAAGUUGAAAGAUAGAGCUGCGGAGACACUAAAUCCAGACCUUACCAAUAUACCAAAAUCACCAAUCUACAGAAGAAGAGGAAAUCAAAGAGGUAACAAACCAAUCCAAAAGAAAUAACUUUAAGUUUUGUAUGUCAUAUUUAUAAAUCAUCCAAGUUUUAAUACAUAAGAUGAUAAUGACUGUGUAACAUGCUGUCGGCCUGUAUAAUACUUUUACCUACCGGUCUAAAUUGUACUCCCUCAGUCCCAUCCUAUUGUUAACAUUUGGGAGAGAGGGUUCAACACGCAUUUUAAGACUCCUAUAAAGUAUAGUUUCGGAAAUUAUUUUAUUUUUUUUCUUCAAAUAUAGAAGUUAAAUGUUUACAUUUCUAUUCAGAAAAAGAAAAUUUUAAAAAUAACUAUGUACCUAAAUCGAUUUACAAUAUAAUAUAAUGACCUAAAUUGAUUCACAAAUUGAAUUUUAAGAGAAAAAACUAUGUACUUAAAUUAGUAACUUAAUCCCAAUUUGUUAUUAGACAGGACAAAAGCUAACAUUACAUUAUGGUACGUUUGUCGUGCAUUCAUAUUUUAGAAGCAAAUUUGUCAUCAGUUUAUAUUUUUACAAUUAAGGUUGGUGUGAAUUUUUAGUGAGUCCUCAAAAACUAAUCUGCAGCACUUAAGCCACCUUAGUCUUCAAUCUGAUAGAAACUAGUCAAGUAAUGUAAUGAACUAAUGAUGCAGAGAGGAGAAGCCAAACCUCCUGAGGAAGCUCAUGAGCAAGCAAGAAUAGAGUUCUUGACCACCCACCUACAGAUCCAUAAAGAAGAAAUGCACUCCCCAAAGCCACCCCAUCAGUAAAAUUGUGCUGCAGUGUUAAAAAAUAUAAUUAGGCAAGUCAAAAUUGUCCAACUAAUACUUUGUACCUACAGUAUAUGGUUAACAUAUGGUAUGCUGUAAAUAUUAUUAGAUACUGGAAGUUGCUCAUAUUAUAUAUGUCAUGCUUCAGCAAUCCAUGGAAACUGCAAACAAAAUGAGUCGGUAGAAAAAAUUAUGUUGUUAACUGUUGCAGACUUGCCUAAAGAAAUGUGCACAAUGUUGUAGCUGUAAAUUUAUGACAGUGAGAAGGUAAAACUUCAAGAAAAAAGUUUACAUAGAACUGGAAAACUACAAAAUGUUAAAAUUAUGAAAGCAUUUUUUUAAAACGUGCAUAUAAUCUAAUAUAUAGUGUAUCAGUGAUAUACAUCAAAGGUUUUCAACUUUUCAAGAAGCUGCAAAAUGCAUCAAAUACAAAACAGAUUGUUAUGUGUGUGCAAGGCAUGGCUCUACUCUGCAGAGUACAGUACAAAAUGGAAAACCACAUAUGGAAAUUAGGAUGCUGUGCCGGUUAGAUACAUACAUAACAUAUCCAUAUUCUAUUAGAAAGAGAGACAUAAAAUUCAAAAGAACAUACCACACCAUCAGAGAAAAGGUUGAGAUAACCAAACACAAGAUUUGAGGGAGACUCGGCAAGUUUUUUGACAUCCAUGAGUUCUGCACUACUGCUAAUAUUCUUUACAUCAUCCAUGUUUGGUUGUUCUUCUGCACCACCGGUAGUGAUGUUUCUCUAGAAUAAAAUGAGUUUGUCAAAAUAAUAUAUCAAACCUAAUAAGAUUUAGGUGGCCGAUAACAAUGAGAUACAGAGAACAAGUAGAGUACAUUCGAGGAUAAAACAAUAAUCCCCCCCCCCCCCCCCCCCCCCCCCCCCNNCCCCCCCCCCCCCCGGCCCGCUCUCUAAUAUAUAACGAAACCAAUAAGAUUUAGGUGGGCAAUGAGAUACAGAAAGAAAGUAGAGUACUCAAUACACGCCGGGACCACUAGAGCCUCACCAAGGCUCCAGAUAGACCCUGGACAAGCUCCAGACAGCCCAAACUUGUCCCCACCCGGGGUCCACCCCCAAGGCCCACGCCCUUCUCAUCCUCCUUAAUUGCAUUGGUUUGUAUUUAAUUUUUUAUUUUGGUGAUACAUACAUACAUAUAUAUAUAUGCACACACACGCGAGAAAUUGCAUAUAUACAAAAAGAUACAUGCUUAUAAAGCGGCAGAACUACAGAACUUGUAUUUCAAGAGGGAAUUGUACUAUGUUCUCCAUCGGUUCAAUAAGAUAAGAAACUUUUUCAUGAGUAAACUCGCUUAUAGAUAUAUUUAAGCUCUUUUAUUACCUUUCUGAGAACGGCAAUUCCACUUUGUCGUUCUCCAUUUGCACAGUCAUCAGUGAUUUUGUCAAACUCUGUACCUUCUGAGGACCCCUUCGCUAGGUUUUCACCUUUUUUAGUGACAGAUGGAACCUGAAGAUCAUCGUCAGUAGCAUCUUUGUCAUCCUUCAACUUUUUGCUGCUCUUACGAUGAUGGUGAUGAUGGCCAUGACUGGGUGCAUUGGCUUCUCCACACACAUCAUCAACAUACCUCACUACCUUUUCUACCAGGAGAAACAGAACAAUACCAGCUGCAAAAGCCAAAAUUUGCAAAUUGUAGAAAGCAACGCUACUUGCGAAGAAGAUUCACAAAUGCCGAAUAAUGAACAAGAAAAAUAUAGCCAAGACACACAAUCACAACCUUGGGCCGCCUACAGUCUAAAUUAAUUUCCAGGCCUAUAACACGAUCAUCCAUAUCUUACUUCCUAAGAAAAUUCACAGAUGCAAUGAACAAGAAAAGUAUAGCUCAGACACGUAAAUACGUAAUCAUGACCUUGGGCCUACUGUAUAAAUUAAUUUCUAGGCCUAUAACAUGAUCAUGCACUUGUAGUGCAUGAAUGAUUAGUAACUGACGGCCAUCAAUCGGUAAGAUCAAGUACUAUCCAUCCGCAACACUGAAUUCAGCUAAGUAUAAUAAAAAGAUUAAACCGAGAAACAGGAAAUUAAGGUAACAAUCUUAUUAGUUUCAGUAAAUCCAUGAUAACCCUAUGCUUGAUUCUAUAGAUGUCAUAAAUCAUAAUAUAAUCUUCUUUAAAAAAAUCCUAGAUAAUACACACAUAAGAUGACAUGUGUACAGGUCACCUGAUGUGGUUAACAAAGAGAGCACUGGAAUGUCCUACUUGCCAACAAAGAGCGUUUAAAAGAAUAUACCCAGUAUGGACAGCCCGACAGAUAGAUCUUGUAUAGAAUGUGAAUGUGAAUGUGAAUGUCCAUUUUCUGAAUGAACAUGAUGGCCAUGGUCCAUUUGAUGAUCAUGUGAAUGAGUGUGAUCUCCACCUGAAAAAAAAAUUGCUUGAAAAUUUAGGACAAUAGUCAUCUCACAGAUUAACUUCAAUUUAAAGAUAUACUACCUCAUACAGACCUUGGAAAGACUGGCACCUAAUUUAAUUCUACAUUUGAUAUAGCAGGAUGCCUUUUUUAAUCAUUACAAUGAAAGAAUAACAGUGAUUUGCUAAAUGGAUCGCCUAAUUUUGUUACAACUUAAAAUUUCAAUUUAGAAUUCACCUCACGAACACAAUUCUUAGCAAACAAAAAGGUUUUCCUAGAUCUUUUGACACCUUAAAGUGCUUUUGACUCUAUAUAUAUUAUUUCUAAUAUUUAUCAUGUAAAUGAUACAAGAUAAAUAAUAUUCUUUUUAUUAUAAAAUUAAAAAAUAUAUAAUCUUUAAUUAGUUGAAAAGUAAAAAAAAUAAAACCAUUAUCAAUAACAUAUAUUAAUACUAAAAAAUACUUACAAAUAGAUAAUUAAAAUAUAUAUUAUUUCUACUACCCAUUACAAUAUUUAAAUAAAUUGUACUCCCUCCGUCCCACCAGGUUCUUUACAGUUACCUCUUUUGGACGUCCCAUCCAUUUCUUUACAUUACAAAACUUUCCCAAAAUAGUUAAUGGGUCCCACCACUUUAUCACUUUUCCUUCCUUUUCACACUACUUUUACUCCACUAUCUCUCUUUUAUAUAUUAAAAAUCGAUGGGUCCCACCACUUCACCCACUUUUCUUCCUCUUUUUCACUACUUUAUACAUAUUUCUUAACCUCCGUGCCCAAACCCAAUGUAAACAAUUGGGUGGGACGGAGGGAGUAAAAGCUAAAUCUCUAAAAAAAUAUAAUCAAUUUGUCAAUAAUUUACACUAGUUCUCCCCACUAGGCCCUAGUAAUUGAGAAGUACAAGUAAUGUUAUCAGAUAUGUAAAGUUAUUUUUAAAUAGGCAACUGCAUAUAUAAAAUAUAUAAUUGAUAUAUAAAAGAAAUAAGGCCAGUCUCUAUAACUCCUAGGUAGGGAGGAUGGGGGGACUUUUAGCAUACCAAAUGCAUGAGGUAGCUGAUGAAGAAAAGCAUCCCCUAGCAUAGCACCUGCCUGCAAUACGAAAAGAGAGAAGAUAUCUACUUAAUAUAGAAACUAAAUAUGCUAAAUAGAAAAGUUAAUUGUAAACCUUUCAGUCACUAUUAAUUAAAAAAGAAAAUUGAAGGUGCGUUUUUACAGUAACAAAAACAGCUUAACAAUUACUAAUCAAAAACCGCAAUAUCAUCAGAAGAAACUAACUGCUUCAAGAAUAUUCUAUACGGUGAACAUGUGUUCAUAACUUCAUAUAAAUGUAAUAGCGCCCAGGAUGCCUUGAAGGAUAUAUUAGACGUAGCACAAUAGGUAGUGGAUCCAAAUAACAGUCACAGAAAAGAUAAUUAAGAAGUUCUCAUAUAGGUCAAACUGCACAUGCCAAAAACAUUAUGAUGUUUUGCAGCUAAUGUAUCUGUUUGCUUUGUGUGCAAUCUCGAUGGUAUAUGCUCAAUAAUUUACAUCAUUAUUCGUGAGCCUGAGAGUAUUUUUCAAUGCACUUUGUUUUCUUUUCAAAAGAGUCUGCUAUACAGGCACAGUCCCCAAUUAUGUACAAUUCCCUCUAAAGUUUUUCUAAUAAGUAAUACAUAUAGAUUAACAAAGAUGGUCCCAGCCCUCUAGAAAGAAUACACAUCCAUUACCCCUCUCGAAUAAAGAGGAGAGUUUGAGAUUGUCGCUAAAUUUAAUCAAGAUAACCAAGUAAGCUAGUCCAGUGCCAUAAGUUGAUGCACAAAAUACUCACAAUGCUCAUGUCAAUGCAUAGUACAGUUGCAAAAAUAAACCCAACACAUCUAUGAAAAAGUACACCAAGGGUAAAAGUUACCAGAGUGAUGAGGGAAAAUAAUACACCAAGAACAAUGAACAUUACUUUAUAACUUAGAUAAUGCACUGAAGUGGUUCUAAGCAUAAUAUAAUCCUUUUAUUCUUGUUUUGGACAAAUAUGUGGCUCACACGACGGAAAGAAAUAACUAUCAUCGAUAAGUCAUGGCUGACAUCCCACAUAUUACAGAAAAUGUUACAAACUAUAAGUUGAAUGUAUCAAUUUACGCUUUUUUAAAAGCAUAAAGUCUCACAAGUGCAAAAUAUAUAUAAUCUAAAUUAGUGCAAAAGAGUCAUGAAGGAGCACAGAAUCUAACCCCAAAUACAGCCAAUGCAUCAACAAUUGUCUUUGAAGGCUUUCCUUGUACUGCAAUAAAUCACAGUUCAGUUUUUUUCUGUAGGCGAAGGCAUAUGAAAUGACAAGCAAAAAAAAAGAAUUCAGCAAGCCAGCUGCUAAAAUUUAGAAGAAAAAAGAACCUGCACCUAACGCAUCUAGCAACUUACCAAAGAUUAAUGGCAAUAUAAUCAGGCAUAUAAGCGAAGCCAAGCUGACCAAAAGUGAGCAGCCCAUCGCAUUGACCCAAAGACCUGGUAGUUACCAAUGAGGAAGAGCCAACAAGGAUCUAAAGAUUACAAGAGAAAGAAUUUCAAAUNNNNNNNNNNNNNNNNNNNNNNNNNNNNNNNNNNNNNNNNNNNNNNNNNNNNNNNNNNNNNNNNNNNNNNNNNNNNNNNNNNNNNNNNNNNNNNNNNNNNNNNNNNNNNNNNNNNNNNNNNNNNNNNNNNNNNNNNNNNNNNNNNNNNNNNNNNNNNNNNNNNNNNNNNNNNNNNNNNNNNNNNNNNNNNNNNNNNNNNNNNNNNNNNNNNNNNNNNNNNNNNNNNNNNNNNNNNNNNNNNNNNNNNNNNNNNNNNNNNNNNNNNNNNNNNNNNNNNNNNNNNNNNNNNNNNNNNNNNNNNNNNNNNNNNNNNNNNNNNNNNNNNNNNNNNNNNNNNNNNNNNNNNNNNNNNNNNNNNNNNNNNNNNNNNNNNNNNNNNNNNNNNNNNNNNNNNNNNNNNNNNNNNNNNNNNNNNNNNNNNNNNNNNNNNNNNNNNNNNNNNNNNNNNNNNNNNNNNNNNNNNNNNNNNNNNNNNNNNNNNNNNNNNNNNNNNNNNNNNNNNNNNNNNNNNNNNNNNNNNNNNNNNNNNNNNNNNNNNNNNNNNNNNNNNNNNNNNNNNNNNNNNNNNNNNNNNNNNNNNNNNNNNNNNNNNNNNNNNNNNNNNNNNNNNNNNNNNNNNNNNNNNNNNNNNNNNNNNNNNNNNNNNNNNNNNNNNNNNNNNNNNNNNNNNNNNNNNNNNNNNNNNNNNNNNNNNNNNNNNNNNNNNNNNNNNNNNNNNNNNNNNNNNNNNNNNNNNNNNNNNNNNNNNNNNNNNNNNNNNNNNNNNNNNNNNNNNNNNNNNNNNNNNNNNNNNNNNNNNNNNNNNNNNNNNNNNNNNNNNNNNNNNNNNNNNNNNNNNNNNNNNNNNNNNNNNNNNNNNNNNNNNNNNNNNNNNNNNNNNNNNNNNNNNNNNNNNNNNNNNNNNNNNNNNNNNNNNNNNNNNNNNNNNNNNNNNNNNNNNNNNNNNNNNNNNNNNNNNNNNNNNNNNNNNNNNNNNNNNNNNNNNNNNNNNNNNNNNNNNNNNNNNNNNNNNNNNNNNNNNNNNNNNNNNNNNNNNNNNNNNNNNNNNNNNNNNNNNNNNNNNNNNNNNNNNNNNNNNNNNNNNNNNNNNNNNNNNNNNNNNNNNNNNNNNNNNNNNNNNNNNNNNNNNNNNNNNNNNNNNNNNNNNNNNNNNNNNNNNNNNNNNNNNNNNNNNNNNNNNNNNNNNNNNNNNNNNNNNNNNNNNNNNNNNNNNNNNNNNNNNNNNNNNNNNNNNNNNNNNNNNNNNNNNNNNNNNNNNNNNNNNNNNNNNNNNNNNNNNNNNNNNNNNNNNNNNNNNNNNNNNNNNNNNNNNNNNNNNNNNNNNNNNNNNNNNNNNNNNNNNNNNNNNNNNNNNNNNNNNNNNNNNNNNNNNNNNNNNNNNNNNNNNNNNNNNNNNNNNNNNNNNNNNNNNNNNNNNNNNNNNNNNNNNNNNNNNNNNNNNNNNNNNNNNNNNNNNNNNNNNNNNNNNNNNNNNNNNNNNNNNNNNNNNNNNNNNNNNNNNNNNNNNNNNNNNNNNNNNNNNNNNNNNNNNNNNNNNNNNNNNNNNNNNNNNNNNNNNNNNNNNNNNNNNNNNCAUCUGUAAACAUCAUUAUUUUGUUAAAAAUUUUGACAAUCCUAAACAUUACUACAAAUUAAAUAGUGAAAAACACAUUAUUCUGCAAAACAUGUUAAGUUUGCAGAACAUAUUUACAUAUUACAGAACAUAUGUGUUCUAUUUGUCGAACAUAAAUGAUUUUCAAUAUUUUUCAUGAAAUAGUGAUAUUUAUAGAAUGUAUUUCACAAAAUAACAAGUUUCAUACAGUUUGCAAUGUUUUUAUGUCAUUCUAUAGUUGCAGAACAUACGUGGUCUACGGUACUACAGUAAAUAUGUGGACUACAUGGAACUUAACUCUAUUCUACAAAUAUCAUGUAUCCAUUAAAAUUGUUGAAGAUUAUCUAUGUUUAAUAAAUAGAUAAUGUAUGUUCUACAAGUUGAACAAAUAUUCUGCAAACUAAACAUAUUUCAUAGAACAAAAUUUUUUGUAAUGUUCUACAUGUAAAACUUAUAUGAUAUUCAAGAUUUUAAAUGAAAUAAAUGAUUUCGUAGAAUAUGAUUUGUAAAACUAUAUGCUUUGCGAUGUUUUUAUGAAAUGUUUUACUUGCAGAACAUAUGUAGUCUCCAGAAAAAUUGUGGUCUCCAUUGAAGUUAACUCUUUAGAUAUAUAUCAUUUUUAUUUUAAAUUUUGAUGAUAUAAAAUCUGUUUUUCAAAAUCUAUUAAAUCAGUCGGUAUUCAAAAAUUAAUAAAUUUUAUUCUAUUUGUAUCAAAGAACCAAAAGCUACUUCUGGAUUCUGUUUUUCUUGACCCGUUUGUGUAAAUAAGUAUAAGCACUUUUAGGAAACNGAAAUAGUGANUCAUCGCUGUCUAUGUAGUUACUAACAUACUAGCCAUCAUACACUAGAGUAGAUUAUUCCCCCUUUAUAUUCACAAGCCUUUUGCUACAUCAAAACCAGCAUUGUUUAUUGAAAUCCAUAAUGUAGAGUUGCUGGUUCUGCAAAGAAAAUCAUGUACAAGCUUAAGAUGGCAGUAAUUAUGCAAAUAACUACGACAUAAAUUUCUUGAUAAGGUAUACUAAAAGACUUGAACCAAUCCUUUGUUUACAGCUAGAUAGCCAUAGCUGUGUACUAUAGAAAACAUGUUUGGAUUACACACAAAGCAUAUUAGCAUGAAAGGGUUCGCAUGAUUUAAUAGGUUCUAUAUUCGAGAUAUUUGAAGAAUAACGAAUGAUUAGUGGAAAACUGACACAGAAAAGGUUAAAAAAAAUUAUGGUCACGUACCAGCCUAAGUUCCAAAUUCAACUAUGAGGAGGAGACCCUGGCUCAGAACCACAAACAGAAGAAAAAGAUAUGAUAUCUUCUUUUCCCAUGGCUACAAAAUUCAGUGGUGCAGUAGACAGUCUUCUCAUCUCCUUGAAAUGCCCAUUUUGACGCCCAGAAUAUGAACGUGGUGUCAUGAGCUCUGGAGUCGCACAUCCAACUGAGUUCCUGCGAGGUGUGGGAGUCAUCGAUCCAUUUCCGUUAGCAUGAUAGCCAUUUGUCUUCCUGAAACUGGGGCUUCUUCUCGGACUAGGCUUUGAUCCAUAAAUGGAUUCUUUUUCUGUUAAUAGCAAGUCUUGGAGCUUCUUUUGGUCCUAAUAAUGACAGAUACAACAAGAAACUAUUCAAGAAAAAUGCAAAACUGAUUAUUCAAGGCAGCCAAUUUUAAGCAUUAUACAUCUCCCCGGCUUGGACUUUUGCAAUAUAUUUUCAUAUAUGAUCCCCAAAACAUGAGUAGAAGGCCAUUGUUUUUUGCAAGCCAUUAUCAUACCCCUCUCCUCUUGGCAAUAAGAGGUAAAGGGUUCAAGCCUCAGUGAAGGCAUGCACAUGAAUAUUAAAAAUUUUGUGAUUGCCCAUUACCAUAAAAAAAUUUAAACGUAGGAACAAAUUCACACCCACUUUACAAAAUUAUAGUUAUUCCUUGAUUGAUCAGGCUUUAUUUGCCACAUCUAUACACACCCGAUAAGGGACAGCACACACACACAUGCAUAUAAAGAGAAGUUUACCUUGUAUCGCUUCUUUGCCUCCUCUUUCUGUUGUCUUGUAAGUUUGUAAUCAUCCAGUAUGGAUACCAAACGUGCCUACAGCAAAAUAAGCUGUCAGAAGUUGUGUAUAUAUAUAGCAACAUGGCAACUGUGAGCCGUAAUAUUAAGUUGCAAAACAUACCCCGUCAUAUAGAAAUUGUUUUCUUCUCUCAUUUUCCCAUGCAACAGUUUUCGUUGUUAGACUAUCAACAAUUGCUGAAACUCAAGCUAGUUUGUUAGCUCCAAUCAAUCUUCCAACUAGGGUAAUAUGUGACCUAAUAAAUUGAACAUAAAUAACAUACCUGGAAUCUUAGUAACUGUUAUUCUAGCACGUUCUGCACGCUUUAGAUUUAGAUGCGCACCCCUUCCAGCACUGUAGCGGUUAUGAUCCUGAUAAAAAUAUAUAUUAACAAAAAGAUCAGAAUUCUAAAAUGAACAAUUUAACUGCAGAUGUAUACAUAUUAUGUGCAUAUAAGGUGGAUGAAGACUCUAGUACAUGCACACACACACAAAGAAAAACAUUUAAUGAAAAUAGAUGAAAAAAUCUGAACCUUAUAAGUAACCUAAUACAUAAAAUAAGCUAAAAAGCAACUUUCCAUUUGUGCAAUAGUUACACAGACAUUUAAUGAAAAACAGAUGCACAUUUUGAGUUGGUCUAUCACUAUGUCAUUUCAUAUGCAAGAAGGCUACACAGGAUAGUCAUUCUUGCUUACUAGGUUAUAAUCUUCAAGCCAGUUUUCCUCCUCACAGGCUGAUAGCCAUCGUUCUAUUCUAUCGAUAAUUUCUUUUCGACUUGAAGCUUCAUCUUUAGCUUUGUUAAUUUGUUCUUCAAUAUUUGACAGAAGUUCACAAGGAUCCACGAGACCUGAAAAGCAGGAGUUUUUAACAAAUCACGCAACAAACCGUGUAAAGUGGUAAAAAAGAGAGCAGCUUAUGAGUUAUGACUUCAAUGAUCAAUCUUAUAUUCCAUACCAGAAUCUAUCAUUGCGAUGGAUUUCUCAGCAGCUGUACUGGAAUCAGGUUCAAUAUGCGUCUUCCGACAAAUAUCUUCCAAUUCCGAUCUCUUCUUGAUAACCAGUUCUUUCAUUCUACUUGCUUUUAACUUAGUAAGCCUCUCAACUUCUUCUGAUGCCUGUCAUAAAAUUAUCAAUAUUACAGGAUUUAUUCAGGUAGAAUAAACCAGAAAGCAAAGCUGUUAUCAAACCUGUUGAAUUAUCUCCAUAGAAAGUGAUUCUGGUUCCACAAUUUCAGAUUCCGACGAAAUUGAAAUGAUUCUGGUAAAAUUACGUUUUUCUUCUCUUGUUGAGUCCAUUAAGUUCCAUAGUUCCAAUACUGAGGCAACUAUAUCUUUCAGCUGCAAUUUCAAGACAGAUUGUUGGUUUUCUUGGUAGGCAUGAAGAGGUAUCUAUUUAUAGAUAACAGGAUUCAAGUUGGAUACAAAACUUAAGAGCAUCUAACCUUCUGAAAUCGAACUUUUCUUUCUGUCUUCAACUUGAGGAUUGCUUGCUCAAGCCCCUCCAAAGUACUGUCGCUGAUGUUUAUAGACUGCUCCAAACUUGUAGUAUGUAAGCUAGGAUGCACGUCGCUCACAGUCCUGCUAAACUCUAAUCCAAGAAUGCCACAUAGGAAAUGCACCUCAUUCACAUACCCCAUUAUUUUCUGGUGGCGUUCGGACUGGAAAAGGAAGGUAGUGCAAACACUUGAUUAAUGAGCAAUGUUACAAGUAAGAAAGAAUCAUUUUAGCUAUUAUGACAACUAUCUCAAAAAAAAUAAUAACAAUAAAAGCUUAACCAUUUGGGAUGCCUCAUAUACUGAGCAAUCAUUGGCGUAAAAGUAACAAUGAGAUGCAUGUAAUGGAUAAAGUCAAUAAAAUGACUAAAACGCUCUGAAUUGUGGAUGGAUACCUUUUCCUUUUGAAGGGCUCGGAGAUGAGUUUGGUACUCCGUGAGUUUCCUGAGUGAUAAAUCUUGUUCCUCAGAUUCUAAUGUUGUUGCAGAGCUGGCAAGAUGACUGUAUCCAGAGAUCUCUACACUGAUCUUAUCAAUCUGUGCCUUCAUAUCUGAAAAUUGCUUCAUCCUCUCCUCUCUCUUUACUUUCAAAUCUUCGACUAAUGGUGAAACUAACAUAAGCUGCUCUUUCAAAGUUGUUGCUUUCUUCUUCUACAAAUUUUAUAGUAAGACAAAGAAACAUUAAUGAAAUAUAAUCCUUCAGGAUUUGAUGACAAUAUUAUACAUGUCCAUAUAGAUACUCAAAUAUUGCUCCACAUCCUAUUUAUACAUUAUCUUGUGACAAAUUCAUAACGAAUGAACCAAAAAACUCCAGAGUAUAUACAUCAGCAAUACAUUCGUAAUGUGCUUCAAUUAGAGAAGACUAGUUAGAAAGAUUACACAUUAGUCAUGCACAACAUUAUUCAUAAAGAGUGUAUUUAAUCAAAGAUUCUUAUUUUAUGUAUGAAUUUUGGUUAUAAUGGUAAGGUAAUUAAAUAAAUAGAGUAAAUUCCUUUCACAUAAGCUUUAUGCUGUUGUUUUAAAUAUUUAAGUCUGUAUUCCUUAGAUAUUAUGUCAAGAAGCUGUAAUCUUGAUAAAGAGUCAGUUCCGAAAAGGACAUAAGUUACAAAAUGGAUAAUACUAAUAAAAUUAUACAAUUCAGUUGUAGUUAUUUUCCAUUAAAAGACUGGUUUACUAUUUAUAUCCAAACACGGAUAUAAUCACAAACUGAAAAUAAAAUCUCAGUAAAACAGAAUGAGAACAAGCCUAAAAAUACACCCACAAAAACAGAAACAUUUAUAUUGUAAGGAGAAAGGUUACGUGGACAGGACACACUAAUAGAAUGCAGAUAUUGUCCGAACUCACAUAAAUGAGAUUUUCGCAGGACAUGAAUAAAAAACAAACACGAGGAAAAAACAACAUAAAGGUGAACGUAAAACAUAUACAUAUAACAGAAACUAGUUAUGGGUACCAUUGGUUGAAUGUUAAGUUCACCAAGAGCAGCCAUAAGAGUAGCAAGUUCAGCUUCCUUGGUAGCAACUGACUGAUGAAGACGGGCCUUGGUAUUUGAGGCUUCGUCAACCUUUCUGCGGUAAACUUCGAGGCACUCUCUCUCCAGGUCCAGCAACAUCCGAUCUUUUUCAGCCUCACUUUCGCCAAUUUCAGUCCAUAUUUGCUGCUUACCACAAGAAAAAUUAACAAUGAACACUGGGAAAAACAUAUUACAUAAAAUUAUUAGAAAUACCAUCCUUGUGUUGCAAAGUUAAGACAAGGUAAGCGUUCAAGUUGAAUACCAGAAAUGCUUGUGUUUAAGUGAAUUCACACAAACACUAUAUUGCAGACAAUAAAAUUCACAAAAUCUAUUGUGCAACCCUUGAACAUGAUCAAGUUUCCACCUUCCUCCAAACAUCUUCUUUUCUCAUAGGACUCAAUUUCAGCAAUUAGUUUAAUUUCAAAAAAAGUGGCACCCCAUGCACCCACCCACCGACACACACGCACACCCCGUAUCAUCUUUUUUCUUUGCUAAAUACCAGAUUAUCAUCUUUAAUUAUGAAAGGCACAAUUGAUGACAUUUCUUGAAAACAAUCAAACUACUUUAAAUACAAAGAAAAAAGUGAAAUUUAAACAAUAAAUGAUCAUAACUACUUGAAAUCAACUUGGCAUCCCUGACUUGGGAAGAAAAACAAAGAAACAAGAACAACUUAACUGACUUGCAAAAGAUAAUUACACAAUGAGGAGAGGAGGGGAGGGAGGGGGAGAGAGAGAGAGAGAGAGAGAGAGAUUUUGACCUGAAGUUCCCUCAACAAAGAAUUGCAGCUAGUGCUUGUCCGGACACCACCAGGACUCCCAACCUUCAACAUUUCAACAGAACAAGAACCAAUUUCUCCCAAAACCCACUAUCUAAAAACCCUCCAAAACACACAGAGGGAGAGAGAAAUAGAAAAAAAAGGGCCAACGCAGCUAAAAGAUCAAACGAGAAUGCAAAGAAAAAGACAAGAACAGUCCAUCCAAGAAGAUAAUUGAAGAGAAAGAAAGUUGGGUUUAGUGGGGUUUUUAAACAUCUCAAGUCAAAUAACAAAAAAACACACAAGUCACCAUUUUGAACCCUCCCUUCUCCUCCUUAACCAGAUCUGAAGCUUCCUCGCACACAAAGACUUUAACUUUAGUUCUCAGAAAACAAAUAAACCCAAGAAAACAAAACAACCCAACAAACUAUUUUAGAUAAGAAUGAAAACAAUUAGGUACAUAAAGCCAAAUGCAGCACCAAGGUCCACCAAACAAGAUACAUAUAUAUAAGUAUAUAAAAUGCUAAGAUGCACCAAGAUUUGGAUCUGCUUAUGUUAGCAAAGAUUUAAAGGGCUUUUGAU